UUACCUUUGAAAUGGUUGAUACCAAGAUGCAAAGUCUUGAGCAAAGUCAAAUUUCCAAUUUCUGUAGGUAUAUUUCCCUCCAAGGAGUUGUUAAACAAUGAUAAAAACUUCAGCUCUUUGCAUUUGAAUAAACUAUUUGGAAUUCUACCCGAAAUUUGAUUCCCACCCAAGCUCAACAUUUCUAGUUUUGACAAAUUGCUUAGAGUAGAUGGGAUAACACCAAUGAAGUUGUUAAGGUACAGAGACAAUGUUUGAAGUUUACUGAAGCAACCAAACCAUAAUGGGAUUUUUCCAUUGAAGCUAUUGUUACCAAAGUCUAAAUAUUUCAUCCGACGCAAAUUAGUUAACUCAACGGGUAAAGAGCCUUGGAAACUAUUUUGAUGAAUAUCGAGCCAAGCAAGGAAAGAUAGAUUUCCCAAUUGAGAAGAAAUGGUGCCUAUGAGAUCCAUGCUUGACAAAUUCAGAGCAGUGACUCUAUAGUGUUUAGAUCCACAUGUGACACCAAUCCAGCUACAAACGGAGGUAGAAGUAGACCAAUUGGUUGUCAAGAAAUUGUGAGGAUCAUGAGUUAUAUGAGAUUUGAGUGCUAGAAGAGCAGAUUGAUCAACGGUGAUGCUAGAAUAUUUUGCAGACAAAAUAACCCCAAAGGUUGCAAAUAGCAGCCCAAACAUAAACGGAGGGAGGAAGCUUGGUUUUGCCAUAAGGGUGGAUAUGGGUGUAAGGCGCAUCAUAAGGAGAGAAACAACCGAGUUUAAUACUUUCCUAAUGUUAGUUCAAUACUUCGUAAGUUUAUAGUAAUUCCAACUGCGAGAUGAUCAAAAAUUCCAAUUGGCAAUUGGAAUAUGAGAUACGAUGUUUAUGUUCUUUUUCAUUUUUAAAUAUAAUAAAGGCGAAAUUGACAGAAGGGAAAACUUUCUCCUUGGUUUAAAAGUCCAGAUAUCAAUUACAAGACAUAAAAAACAAAGACAAGUAUUGGGGGCCAGUAGAUGAUAGUGAGUGACACUAUUUGAUCUAGUCUAAUUAUUACAACAUGUUUGAUUGAAACUAUUUUGUAAGCUCUGAUUAAAUAAAUAUUGAGAGGAAAAAACUUAAAAUUUCUUCUUUUCCUUAGCUAUAAAAUUGAAUUUCUAGUUUGGAUUACAUGCCUUUGGUUCUCAUCUCUAGUUAUGUAAGGCAGAGUCGCUGUUAGUUGGAUGGACCUACAUUGAAAACAUGAAUUGAAAAGAUAAGUAAUAGAAACUUUGUCAUAUUUAGACAAAUAUCAACCACAUCUUUAUUAACUUUUUACAUUUCUUAUCCCAAUAUUCAAAACCAAACAAUACAUUCAUUGCAUGUUCCUUUUCCCAAAUAUCAUUUUAUUUAAUGUCAUUAGACAUUACUCUGUUCUUUUUUCUUUGUGAUAAAAAUUAUUAAACAAAAAAUUAUUACAAAUGUUGUAGGAAUCUAUCCUUUGAGAUUGUUUGAUUCUAGUUUUUGACAAAUUGCUCAAAGUUGGUGGGAUAAAACAAGUGAAUUUGAUGGUGUUCGGAAACAAGCUUCGAUGUUUAGUGAGAUCAAAAUUUGUUGGCAAAUUAAAUUCCUCAAUGGGUAAAUAUCCAUGGAAGUUACUGUCCCAGAGUGGGGCUGGACUUGGAUGGUGUCUGCGAGACUCAUUUUUAUCAAAUUCAAAGCAGUGGCAGUAAUACCGAUUAAAUUACAACUAGAAAUAAAAACAGAUCAGUUGGCUUGGUUGCCAAGAGGUUUCGAGGGUCAUGCUUGUUCCCUAUCAUCCCAAGUACUACUAAGUCAGUACCCCUCUAAAUGGGGAGAACUUUGUUGAUCUUUCAUUGGUUUAGAAGUCCAAAUACCAAUUGCAAGGCAUCAAAACAACAAAGACAAUAUUGGGGACCAGCUGAAGAGAGUGAGUGACACGGUUUGAUUUAGAGUCUCAUGAUUGCAACAUGUUUGAUCGUGAUCCUCAACUUUGAUUGUAAUGUCUAACAAAAGAAAUACCCAGAUGAGAAGACCUUUUUUCUAUAAAAUCUAAAUUUCUAGUUUUGAAGACAUGUGGUUCUCAUCUCUUACUUGUUCUGCACGGCUAAGUCGCAGUUGCUUCGAUGGACCUAUGUUGGGGAACAUGAAUUGAAAAAAAUGCCAACAAGUAAUAGAAACUUUGUAAUAUUCAGAUAGAUCAAAUUAAGCUUUUUGUGGACCAUUCUCAAAUAAUUAAUUUGGCAAUCCUGAAUCUAACAAUCUAACCAUUGAGUUUAACAGUAUAAUUAUAAUUGCCUUGCAUUUAAAAUUUUGAAUUGAUCUAAUACCUCUAUCAUUUGGGUCCAAAACUUUGUUUAUUUCAUAUAUAUUAUAUAAAGCAAAGUUUUUAAAUAUUUUUGAACGUAACUAAGUAAGCAUGUUUCUUCUACCGCGAGUCAAAACUUUGCAGCAAUUUUAGCCAUUUCAUACACUAUAUAUCAUUAUAUUCUUACCUUAAUUAAAGCAUAAUAAUAUAUAUUUUCAUAAAUUUUUAAAAAUAUCAUAAAUUUCCAUUGGGAAUUUUGUUGGUGUAUUCUAAAUUACAUAAUAAUAAGAAAUAUGAAAGAUUUCCAUAUAUUCUCGCCUUUUAGUAUAAGUAAUAAUAAAAAUUUUUGUUGAUUCACCUUUAUUAUGAAAAUAAAAAUAAAAAUAAAAAAUUACAAAAUUAGAACCGUAAAUCAAUUUUGGUUUAAAAUUUUAAACCUACAUAUUAAAGAUAUCCUAACAAAUUUACUUUAUAAGAGCACAGUUUAUGGAAUAAUUUUUAUAUCCAAUCAAAGGCCUUUCAUUCUUAUAAAUAUCGGAAAUUACAAAGUUAAUCUUUGUGUAGAAAAUCUGAUAGGUAAGUAGCAUAGCAUCCAUCUAAUAGAUUAGGAAAUCUGUAGUCUUGAGAUGGAAUAGAUUUUACGGUCACAUUGGCAACCUUAAAUUAUAAUCUUCUUUGAUCUCGUUUGCAUAACAUCCAUCUAAUUUUGAGAAAUCUGCACUUUUAAUUUCAAAAUUGUAAUUAAAUAGGUUUAUCCAAUUAAAUAAUAAUAAUAUAUGGCUAUGGUGAUGUCUAUAAUUUCAUAAAAUAAUUACUCUAAUCUAAUCCAUGUCUCUUCCUUUCUGAGUUUAUCAAGCAAUAAAUUCCCUUCGAUUUCACCUAACUUGUUAUAAUAAUGUUUUCUCAAAUUAGUUAAAGAAGAAAAUUUAUGAUGUUAUACUUAAAUUGAAUCUUUCAAUUUAUUAGGAAUUGAUUUUAAAUUAGAAAGAUCAAAAUUUAAGUAGAAUCACUUAGGGAUGCUAGUGGGGCAAGUUUUGCGGGUCCCGCCCUACUUCGUGCUCAAUUGACAGUAGGAUGGGGACAAAAAUUAAACCCGUUGUGAGUGGUGGGGUAGGCGUGGGUAUGACCUUGUACCUACCUCAUCCCCACCUACCCCAUCCCAUCCCGAAUAAUAUAAUAAACAUAUUUAAAAAAAACAUUUAUAUAAAAUUAAUUUAAUAAUUAUUUUAAUAGUAUUUAAUUUUUGCUCUUGUGUUGCAUUUGAAGAUAUUUAUGAUGUAUUUGAGAUAUUGUUUGUAUUUUGAUAUUAUGUAAUGACUUUAUUUUUUGAAUUUUUAAACUUGAAAUUAUAUCUUAUUUAAAAAAUUAAUGGUGGUAACGACUUACUUUUUUUAAAAAAAUAGUGACAGUUAGAAUAAUGUCACAUAUGUGGUGGGAGUUUGGAGGAUAAAUAUUUUAUACUUUUGUCACAAAAAGUUGGUUUAUAUUUAUUUAAGUGAUACUUAUAAAUAUAUUAUACGAAGUGGGUCACAAAAUUGUGUAAGUCAAAGUCUGUGUAAUUUGUAGUAAUGCAUACCAAGAAGGAAUCUUCGGCCCUCUCUCUUUCUAUCUUUGUCUUCCUCUCAUUUUGGUGUUGUUUGUUUGGAUGUGUUUUGUCUUGUGUUAAUCUGAUUUGUUUUGUUCCAGUGAUGUUAAGCCUUUGACUAGUAAUAUGAGUAAUAUUGGGCAAACCACAAUACACGGUAAAGAAUGAAAGCCAGAGAAAUGCAAGACUGCAUGUCUACACCAUUAUUCACUAUUCAACAAUACAUUACUUAUUUUUUUCUUUGUGAUAAAAUUUAUUAACAACAAAUGCUAUGCUUGUUUUAUGGAUAAAGUAAUGUUUAUUUAAUAUAUCCACAACAAUAUCAGUCUGAUUUACUGAAAAAUAUAUAUAUCCACAACAAUAAAUGAAUUUCCAGUUAUACGUCUCAUUCAAUAAUAAUAUUUUCACUAUUACCAAAUAUUUUCUCUUCAUCCAAUUUUUUGUCACUUGGAUAUCACGAUACCCUAGGGGAUAUUGCGAUACCACUGCUUCAUGCCUUGAUCCCAGAACUAAUGGGGCUUUCGUGAUUCCAAUGCCCUGAUGUCAUGAUACCACUGCUUUGGAGAUGUUUUCGCAUGAUUUCAGGCCUCCGACAAGUACCUACAACACUCGAUCAAAUGUUAGGUUCCCCAAUUACACAAUUGGCCAAUUUCGGUAUAAAAAAUGAGUAAAACAAGGCAAUUUUCACUUAUUCAAUUGAAACAUAAAAAAAUAUUAAAAAACUACGUAAAAGACACAAAAAUGCUUGAAAACAAGCUCUUCAAGUAUAACGGGGAAUUUUAAUUUUACAUAUUAGAUUACGACAGAUCACACCCCUGUUCAGAAAAAUGAAAUGAAGAGGCUGAUUCAGAAAAUGUUACAAGCAAGCAUCAUUAAAGACAACAAUAGCUCAUUUGCUUCUCCCAUUAUCAUGAUCAAGAAGAAAUAUGGGAAUUGAAGACUGUAUGUUGACUCCUGACAACUCAACCAAGUUACCAUAAAAGACAAGUUUUUUGUUCUAGUUAUUGAGGAAUUGUUGGAUUAGUUGGGACAAGUUGUGUUCUUUUCUAAAUUGGAUCUCAAAUUGUUAUAGGGGAAAAAAGGAGAGCCUAAAAUAGAAGACUUAGUCUCAAGUUGAAGAGUAGCACUAAUAAUUCAAUUGUUGGUUUCAGAAAUCCAGUUGCAACAUGUUUGAUGGUGAGUGACACUAUUUGGUUUAGUCUAAUUAUUACAACAUGUUUGAUUGAAACUAUUUUGUAAUCUCUGAUUAAAUAAAUAUUGAGAGGAAAAGACUUCAAUUUUCUUCUUUUCCUUACCUAUAAAAUUGAAUUUCUAGUUUGGAUUACAUGCCUUUGGUUCUCGUCUCUAGUUAUGUAAGGCAGAGUCGCUGUUAGUUGGAUGGACCUACAUUGAAAACAUGAAUUGAAAAGAUAAGUAAUAGAAACUUUGUCAUAUUUAGACAAAUAUCAACCACAUCUUUAUUAACUUUUUACAUUUCUUAUCCCAAUAUUCAAAACCAAACAAUAAUACAUUCAUUGCAUGUUCCUUUUCUCAAAUAUCAUUUUAUUUAAUGUCAUUAGACAUUACUCUAUUCUUUUUUCUUUGUGAUAAAAAUUAUUAAACAAGAAAUUAUUACAAAUGUUGUAGCUAGGAAUCUACCCUUUGAGAUUGUUUGAUUCUAGUUUUUGACAAAUUGCUCAAAGUUGAUGGGAUAAAACAAGUGAAUUUGAUGGUGUUCGGAAACAAGCUUCGAUGUUUAGUGAGAUCAAAAUUUGUUCGCAAAUUAAAUUAUUCAAUGGGUAAAUAUCCAUGGAAGUUAUUGUCCCAGAGUGGGGCUGGACUUGGAUGGUGUCUGCGAGACUCAUUUUUAUCAAAUUCAAAGCAGUAGCAGUAAUAUCGAUUAAAUUACAACUAGAAAUAAAAACAGAUCAGUUGGUUUGGUUGCCUAGAGGUUUCGAGGGUUAUGUUUGUUCCCUCUCAUCCCAAGUACUACUAAGUCAGUACCCCUCUAAAUGGGGAGAACUUCGUUGAUCUUUCAUUGGUUUAAAAGUCCAAAUACCAAUUGUAAGGCAUCGAAACAACAAAGACAAGUAUUGGGGACCAGCUGAAGAGAGUGAGUGACAAGGUUUGAUUUAGAGUCUCAUGAUUGCAACAUGUUUGAUCGUGAUAUGAUUGUAAUGUCUAACAAAAUAUAUACCAAGACGAAAAGACCUUUUUUCUAUAAAAUCUAAAUUUCUAGUUUUGAAGACAUGCCUUUGGUUCUCAUCUCUUACUUGUUCUGCACGGCUAAGUCGCAGUUGCUUCGAUGGGCCUAUGUUGGAAACAUGAAUUGAAAAGAAUGCCAACAAGUAAUAGAAACUUUGUAAUAUUCAGAUAUAUCAAAUUAAGCUUUGUGUGGACCAUUCUCAAAUAAUUACUUUGGCAAUCCUGAAUUUAACAAUCUAACCAUUAAAUUUAAUUAACAAUAUAAUUAUAGUUGCCUUUCAUUUAAAAUUUUAAAUUGAUCUAAUACCUCUAUCAUUUCGGUUCAAAACUUUGUUUAUUUCAUAUAUAUUAUAUAAAGCAAAGUUUUUAAGUAUUUUUGAAUGUAACUAAGUAAGCAUGUUUUGUAACACCCCCUAACCCCAAACCAUCACCGAAACAGGGUUACGAGGUAUUACCGGAUAUAUCAAACAAUUUACAAAUAAACAUAUCAUAAAUAACCAACAUAUUAAAAUUAUACAAGCAUUCAUAUAAAUUUCACUAAUUGAAUUUUUUUUAUAAAAAAUUCGGCAGCAUUUCUGCUUAUUUUUACAUAAACCCCCUGCAAAAUUUCAAAAUAUAACCAACCCAAUUCAUUUCACAUUCUCAUUUUCUAUUCUAAAUACCUUCUAAUCAAACUCAAUCAACUUAAUAUCAAUUUAAAUUUAUCAAUGUACUAAUUAAAUUGAAAUGGAUAAACUUCUUUCAUUAAAAUUCUUAGACUUAUAAUACUAACAUUUUUAACUAUUUAUAUUCAAAACAUAAUAACAUUUAUACACAUCCUAUGUACAUGCCACAUUACUAAAAGAAAAUAUACAUCACCAAAAUUUGCUGAAGUCGGGUCUGGUUUUUGGAUGCUGGUUCAGUACUUGACUUCUACAACCUGCGCAAGGAAACAACCGUACGCUGAGUAUUUCAUACUCAGUGGUAUUACUAUAAAUUAAACUAUUUAAUAAUAAUAAAAUUUCAAAUAUUGACCAUAAUCUUUAUAAAUCAAUUUAAACUAAAUAUACAUAUUCAUGUAUCAUUUCAUAAAUCUUAAAUUUAUAUAUAUAUAUAUACAUACUAAUUCAAUUCAUAAUUUAACUCAUACAUUCUUUCUCGUAUUUUUCUAUAGUGUCAAAUCAACCAAUUUCAUUUUCAAAUUUUCAUUUCAAUUAUUUACCCUAUUAACAAGCCUCGGACUCUGACAGAUACGCGGAUUCUACCCAAACACACCAGAAUAUCCAACCUAAACACACCUGGAAUAAUAUAAAUCCUCCCUAACACACCAGUAUAUCAUAUCCUCCCAAACACACCAAUAAGUCAUUAAAUACCUCUUCGGAUAAAUCGAAGCAUAUAAUAACAGAAUCAUUUUCUCGGCCGAACUACAAAUCUCCUCAUCACAUCACAAAUCCUAUGGCAUGCCAUUUGUAUCCAAUCUAGUCCAAUAAGUUAAUAGGGUAUUAUUUUACUUUCCAAUUUCAAAUUCAUUUCCACAACAAUUUUAAAUACUCAAACAAUUCAAAACAUCUAUUAUUUUGAUUAAUAUAUAAUUCAAUAUUCACACAUAUUCUUACUUAAUUUCAAAUGUCUCAUGAAUAAAAUUUCAAUAUAGCAUUUAUUAAAUAGAUUAAGUUAUAGUAAUACAAACCCGGAAUACGCGUUUACUCCUCAACGAUCUUUUCUUUUCCUUUGGAUGCCGAUGCCUCGUUUUCCUUGUUAGCUACGAAAAUAAUAAUUAUUUUCACUAUUAAUUUCAGCAUUAAAAAAAUAAUUAUUAAAUUUUAUUCAAUUCCUACUUAUUCCCAAUUUAAUUCUAACUAAGCUUAUUUAUUUUUCUAACUUAAUUCAUAUUUCUUUUCUACUUAAUUUCUUGCCAUAUUUAACUCUACUAUUCAAUAUUCAUAAUUAAACCCUAAUUUAAGGCUUUUUAUAACUUAAUCCCAACUAUAUAAAACUUAUAACUUAGUUUACAAAUCAAUCUUUUUAUCUAUUCUAACUAGAAAUUCUAUCAACUAAACCCCUAAUUUAACAACUUGUUCAAAAUGAAUCAUGUUCAUAAACCUAUGAACUUUCAUAACCUCCACUUAAUUUCAACAAAACUUUGUUUUAAAGCUUCUAAAACAUCAAAAUGAAGAGAAAAUGGCUAAAUUUAGCUUACCAAUUAAACUUAAAGCUUUAAAAUCUCAAUUUCCCCUUUUCUUUUCUUUCCCUUUUUCUUCCCCUAUUUUCGUCUCUUUCUCUGUUUCUAUUCCGUUCUUCUUUUGUUUCUUUAUCUUUUUAUUUUACUUACUUUACUUUAUUUCUUUUAUUUUAACUAAUAAUAUAUUAAAAAAAAUCUUUUACUUAUUAGUUAAGCAUAUAUUUAUUUUUAUUACAAGUGUACCUAUAUAAUUACUACUAUUACACUUGUCUUUAUUGCUUACCAUACAUUUGUCAUCUAUUUAGUUUAUAUAAUAUAAUAUAAUAUAAUAUAAUAUAAAACAUAAAAAUCUAAGAUUUUUAUCACUUAUGCCGUCCCAUUGCCUGUUAAUGGCUUAAUUGCCAUUUUAAUCCUUUUUAUUUUCUAUUAAUCUAUAAUUCAAGUUUUUCCCCUAGUUCAAUUUAGUCUUUUUUCCUAAUUUCCCUUAAUUAAACUAAAUUCAUCCAAUUAAUACCUAAUUAAACACUCAACUAAACUCAUAAUGACUUCAAAUAUUAUAAUUUUUUUAUGACUCAGUUUACUAAGACGGAGGCCCGAUAAUGUACUUUUUCCGAUGCUUGUGAAUUUUGGGUCAUUACAUGUUUCUUCUAUUGCGAGUCAAAAGUUUGCAGCAAUUUUAGCCAUUUCGUACACUAUAUCCAUAAGUUUUUAAAAAUAUCAUAAAUUUCCUUUGGAAAUUUUGUUGGUGUAUUCUAAAUUACAUAAUAAUCAGAAAUAUGAAAUAUUUUCAUAUAUUCUCGCCUUUUAGUAUAAGUAAUAAUAAAAAUUUUUGUUCAUUCACCCUUACUAUGAAAAUAAAAAUAAAAAAUUAUAAAAUUAGAACCGUAAAUCAAUUUUGGUUUAAAAUUUUAAACCUACAUAUUAAAGAUAUCCUAACAAUUUUACUUUAUAAGAGCACAGUUUAUGGAAUAAUUUUUAUAUCCAAUCAAAGGCCUUUUAUUCUUAUAAAUAUCGGAAAUUACAAAGUUAAUCUUUGUGUAGAAAAUCUGAUAGGUAAGUAGCAUAGCAUCCAUCUAAUAGAUUAGGAAAUCUGUAGUCUUGAGAUGUAAUAGAUUUUACGGUCACAUUGGCAACCUUAAAUUAUAAUCUUCAUUGAUCUCGUUUGCAUAACAUCCAUCUAAUUUUGAGAAAUCUUCACUUUUAAUUUCAAAAUUGUAAUUAAAUAGUUUUAUCCAAUUAAAUAAUAAUAUAUGGCUAUGGUGAUGUCUAUAAUUCCAUAAAAUAAUUACUCUAAUAUAAUUCAUGUCUCUUCCUUUCUGAGUUUAUCAAGCAAUAAAUUCCCUUCGAUUUCACCUAACUUGUUAUAAUAAUGUUUUUUUUGAAAUUAGUUAAAGAAGAAAAUUUAUGAUGUUAUAUUUAAAUUGAAUCUUUCGAUUUAUUAGGAAUUGAUUUUAAAUUAGAAAGAUCAAAAUUUAAGUAGAAUCACUUAGGGAUGUCAGUGGGGCAAAUUUUGCGGGUCCCGCCCUACUUCGUGCUCAAUUGACAGUGGGAUGGGGACAAAAAUUAAACCCGUUGUGAGUGGUGGGGUAGGCGUGGGUAUGACCUUGUACCUACCCCAUCCCAUCGCGCAUAAUAUAAUAAACAUAUUUAAAAAAUAAAUAUUUAUAAAAAAUUAAUUUAAUAAUUAUUUUAAUAGUAUUUAAUUUUUGCUCUUGUGUUGCAUUUGAAGAUAUUUAUGAUGUAUUUGAGAUAUUGUUUGUAUUUUGAUAUUAUGUAAUGACUUUAUUUUUUGAAUUUUAAACUUGAAAUUAUAUCUUAUUUACCAAUUAAAGGUCGUAACGACUUACCUUUUUUUUUUUAAAUAGUGACAGUUAGAAUAAUGUCACAUAUGUGGUGGGAGUCUGGAGGAUAAAUAUUUUAUACUUUUGUAACAAAAAAUUGGUUUAUAUUUAUUUAACUGAUCCUUAUAAAUAUAUUAUAUGAAGUGGGUCAUAAGGCAAGUAUAUAGCGGGGAUUAGGUGGGUUUGAGACCCAUGUGGGUGGUAAGGAGAGGAUGAAUUUGAGUUUUGUACCCGUAAUGGGUCACGUGAUGGAGAUGGGGAUGAAAAUUCUUAGCGGGGAUGGGGAUGAAAAUUGUGUAAGUCAAAGUCUGUGUAAUUUGUAGUAAUGCAUACCAAGAAGGAAGCUUUGGCCCUCUCUCUUUCUAUCUUUGUCAUCUUCUCAUUUUGGUAUAUUGUUUGUUUGGAUGUGUUUUGUCUUGUGUUGAUCUGAUUUGUUGUUCCAGUGAUGUUAAGCCUUUGACAAGUAAUACGAGUAAUAUUGGGCUCCAACCACAAUACAUGGUAAGGAAUGAAAGCCAGAAAAAUGCAAGACUGCAUGUCUACACCAUUAUUCACUAUUCAACAAUACAUUACUUAUUUUUUUUCUUUCUGAUAAAAUUUAUUAACAACAAAUGCUAUGCUUGUUUUAUGGAUAAAGUAAUGUUUAUUUAAUAUAUCCACAACAAUAUCAGUCUGAUUUACUAAAUAUAUAUAUAUAUAUAUAUAUAUAUAUCCACAACAAUAAAUUAAUUUCCAGUUAUGAGUCUCAUCCAAUAAUAAUAUUUUCACUAUUACCAAAUAUUUUCUCUUUUAAUAUUUGUUUAGAAAAUAGCGUUCAAGAUGAAUUUAGACAAAUAGUUUAGUAGUAGAUUAAAUUCUUUGGAUAUAUUAACCAAAUCCACACCAGCAAAUUUUACCUAUGAUGGAUUCAAUUGAACAUAUAAAAUAAUAACUUGUUAGAAGGGUUGAUUAAUUGGAAAGCAUAGAAUGGGUUAAUCAAUUAGAAAACUAGAAUUUAUAAAACUUAAGUAUAUAAUUUUAUAUUGGAAUUAUUCAGUGGGAUGAAGAGUAAAUUUCAAGUAGCAAAAGGAUGGAUCCAUCUCUCUCCCUUCCAUAUUUAGUCUUUUUCAAAUCUUCAAGAAUAGGCUGAUGUACAAUUAUUUUACUUUGAAUGCAUGAGUCUAUGGUAAGGAAGGGGUCCCAGCAGUAAGGUAAAAUGGUAAGUGUUGAAACAGAAAAUAAAAGAAAUGUAGCCGCUGUGGGUCUUAUGGAAUUAGUAUGAUUUAACGAUGACGGGGCUUAUGGUGCUUUGGAAUUAUCGUUUUUUUUAAGAUGAUUUGAUUUGGUGAAAGGGAGUGCUUUCGAUGUGGGUAUUUGGUUGCAUCCUUAUUGUUGUACAAAAAACUAGCUAGUUGGAGGAUCAACUUUCCUUUCAAUUUUAAUAAAAAUUAUAUAUGAACUUGUGAACUUGUAUUCAAAUUGAAUCUUUCCAUUGAGUCGCUCUUGCAAGUCAAUGCAGCAAUCAAGAACCAUAUUAUUAAUACCCAGCUAAGAUCGUGGACGUUUUCUACUCUAUAUUUUUCUCCUAAAUGCUUCAUUCCAGUGAAAAGUGCUGCAAUUCCUACGGCAAUGGCACCUCUGCCGAUAAUUACAUGGAAAUACUCCCAAAUUAAUCUCUUUGUGGAAGCGUCCUCCCCAUUAGCAGGUUUUGUCCGGUCUGAGAUAUGCAUUCAUUGGUUGCACAGAGGCAAAAACUAUGGCAGCAAUACCAAGCUUAACAUGUAAUGAGCUGACAUAGAAACCCCGAAGUUCGGCAACUUCAAAAAGAACACCAAGUAGGAUAAUUGCUAAUCCUGAAUAUUGUAGGUAAAUAUGAAUUUGGUACCAUCCAUCACCCUUUACAUGUUUUAGGUAUCUAGCAGCCAAUAUUCCACCAGGAAUCAAAAUACCCCAGGAGAGGAACAGCAUAAACCCAUGUACAGCUUUGACAGGUUGUAAACCUUGCUCAGCGUUGGAAGAACCACGGAUAAGCAGCACUUGCACAGGCCUUUGACUCGUGACAGUAUGCAUGUUUUCUCACUGAGAUGUUCAUCAGUCCACUUUGAACCCAUUGCCCAUAUGACUUUAAGAGGAGUUGUAGGAUCAACAAUGUUCUUGCACUGUGGCUUAUCAUUUUGAUUGCAUGAUGGUUUUAAUGGACGUGUGAAUUCCAAAGUAAUGAUGCCAUCUUCUGACCUGCACCUGACAUGUGUCAGAUUCUCAUUUGUUGGAUGAAUGUUCAAGGGAUGCUUUCCAUCAAUCCAAUAUGUAUUUAAAUGCCCUUUUCCACUAUCGCCAAUCCAGCCCACAUAUGCAUAGCUAUUCACCAUCCCAUUACCGAAACCUAUUGCAAGAUAGCCACUCUUAUUCACACCACGGGCAGCAAUAGUUAUUGAAUCUUCUGAUGACGUCCAAAAGAAAGUAACUUGAUCAUCUAAAAGCACACUAGUGUUAUACAUAUCAGACAGGGCACCAUCAAAAACUUGAACUUUCCAUCCCAUCUUCUCCUGGUACAAGGACUGAUAAUACACUUGAUCGGGGGUAUUCCUAUCGGGAACCCAAAUCAAUUCAUGAGGAUUUGCUACAACUCCUUCCGCUUCUGGCCCUCCAGAAUAAAUAGUCUCAGUUGCAUUCCUUAAUGUAGCAUUCCCACCUAGAGAAUCUGAAGUAAUAUACAAUGCAACAGCAUGCCCUGCCUGCGCCAAAAACUUAACUGGAACCCCUCUUUCCAAUCUCAACACCGGUGCUUACUUAUUAUUAAUACACAAAACCUUAGACGGACUUGGCGGACUUGGAUAAUGCAACACCUCCCCUGUUGUAGCAACAAGGGGGACUUCUGUAUCAGCAAUAAUCAACUAUUGAUCCUCAUUAUCAUCAGCAUCCAAUGGCCAAAACAAUCAUCUACCUUCUCUGAAACAUUAAGCACCAAAUGUCCUUAUGCAACCUUCUCUGGAUCCCCAUGAAAUUGGGGCAAAAAAUGAGACCGAUUUUCUUUCGGUGGUUUCAUCAACCCUAAUGCCCAAAUAACCCUCAUAUCCUCAUUAGGAUACACAGGCAAAUCAUACUUCUUAGGGUAAACUGCAAAAUUAGUCACUUUUGUUUGUCUUAGAUUACAUUUUAAUCACUUAUGUUUGAAAUGUUAUAUUUUAGUCACUUACGUUAUCAUUUUGUUACGAAGUGAUCACUCUAUCGUUAAGCUCUGUUACCUCCCUAAUGGCGGUCCUACAUGGCAAUCCAGAUGGGUUUUAAAUGCCAACUUAGAUGUCUUACUUGGCAAUCCAAAUUGAAUUUAUUUAAUUAAAAACCUAUUUUCAUUCCAGCAACUGGACAUCCAAGUUGGCAUUUAAAACCCAUUUGAACUGCCACGUAGGACUACCAUUAGGGAGGUAAUGGAGUUCAAUGGUAAAGGGACCACUUCGUAACAAAACGAUAACGUAAGUGACUAAAACGUAACAUUUCAAACAUAAGUGACUAAAAUGUAAUCUGAAACAAACAAAAGUGACUAUUUUUGUAGUUUAUACUACUUCUUAUCUGUCGAAUUCAAUGGUUUCCUAAACAUAAUUAAAGAAACCCCAUCUCUCCUAUGUCCAUAAACUAACCUAGUAUUAUUCACCAUCAUGCCAUUUUUCGAAUUCUCAUAAACUACAUCAGGGCAAACACCUAUAGCUGUACGAUCUUUAGAACUCAACUUACAUUCACUAUAAGCCGUAAUGUAAAAAUCAUCAACAAAAGGCCUACCUUCUUCAGUAAAACUUGCCACCGUAACAUCAACUCCUUCGUCCUAUUCGGAUUUGCCCACCCAAAUGCCAUGUAAUAGGUCGUCGGUGUCGCCGCUUCUAACCCGAUCUCGAUCUAAUUUUCCUCCACAUUCAAGUUCCACCGGACCCUAUAAUUAUCCGAUAAGUUCUUGCAGUUAUCAAACACUGUAUGCAUCGAGCCCGAAACCGAAUCCGACCCAUUUCGAGGGAGGGUGACAUGGCCGAAGUCCGAGGUGCUGGCGAUGUCCCAUAUUGAAAGAAUGUUGAUCUGGUCCCAGGUUAUGUCGGGGAGCAAUUGGACUGAAGACGGUGCAUUUUUUGUAAGCUGUUUGAUUGAGGCGUUGACCGGAGAUGGGGAACCCGCUGGUGAGGUCAGAGAAGUUGAAGGAGACGGCGCCCCAGAAAAUGACGUCGGAUGAGCCGGAUAACAUGUCGAAUCCGGUGACCUGGAAAGAGUAGCCAUUGAGGAUUUUGAGAUGGCCACGGAGUUGGUGUCGGACCAUUGUGAAGUUUGAUUCAAACCCGACUAGGGAGCUGAUGUUAGAGCAUUUCUGACCCGAAUCCGCUUUGGAAGAGGCGAUGGAAUUGAUUAGGAAGAGUGGGAUUAGAAGGAAAAUUUUGGAAUUGUACAUUCGAAUCCGGUCGCGGGUGAUUCGAGAAUUUGAAUUCGGUGAUGAUGGAAAAUGAACGUUUUAAAGAGAAGGAAGGAGCCAAUGAGCUGCUGGGUGGUGAGUGGUGACUCGGUGCAGCCGGAGCGAGUUGUCGACUUGUCUCGAUAUUGGUUUAUAAUUUUACUUUUUUUCCUGCUUUUCUGAAAAGAGGAAACUAGAAUCUCUACUAUCAGUUUUUUAAUUUUAAUUUAGUUCAAAUUUUUUAAUUUAGUAGUCCAACUAAUGGAGAAUUUUUUUUGCCAAUUUCCAUAAUGAGAGGACAUGAUAAUUAAAAAUUAAUAUAAUAGUAAAUUUAAUUCUUAAUUUUUACAUUUUGUAUCAAUUUAGUCAUUAUUUUAAAAAAAAUUAAUCUUCAAAAUUUACAAAUUAUCUCAAUUUGAUCAUCAAAAUUUACCUUUUCUUUCCACUUCCUCUGCUACCACUACCAUCGUUGCCUCUAGUUCCGGCUUCUCCUCCACCUUUCUAAAUUUUUUUUUUUCAAUCAUGUUCAAAUUUAAGGCAUUAUAAUUUAUUUUGUGUUAAGUUAGAUGAAGCCUAAGCAAUUUAAAUAUAUGUGCUUCUAUUUUACAAUAAAUUAGGUUGAAAUAGAAAGAGGAAAGGUAUGUUUUUUUUGGGAGAAAGGUGGAGGUGGAGGUAAUGAUGGUAAUGGCACGUGGUGAAGUAGAAGAAAAAAGUAAAUUUUGAGGAUCAAAUUGAGAUUAUUAGUAAAAUUUGAGAAUUAAUUAUUUUAAAAUUUUGACUAAAUUAAUAUAAGAUGUAAAAUUUGAGAGCUAGAUUUAUAAUUAUACUCAUUUUUUAACUACUACAUUACCUUCCAUAGAGAUUUAAAGAAAUAGUUAAGUGAUCAAAUUAAAAAAAAUUGAUAAUUAGGUAACUAAAAAAGAAAAAGGGAAGAUAGUUGGGUGACUUGUGGUAUAGUUUACCCUAAUAAUAAAAUAUAAUAGGGUAAACUAUAGAAUUAGUCACCCCACUAUUAGUGUGUUUCUGUUUUGGUCACCUAACUAUGAAAAUUUUUAAUUUUAUCUCUAUCGUUUUAGAUCAUUUCUAUUUUGGUCACUUACGUUUUAGAGCAUUUUUAUUUUACUCACUCUUCAUUAAAUCAUUAACGAAAGUUAUGAUGUGACCUUUUUUUAAUUAGUAUAAAUAAUACAUUUAGUCUUCAAUGCUUACAAAUUUUAUCAAUUUGAUCCUCGAACACAUAUAAUUAAAUAUAAAGUAUAUAUUAUGAAAACGUACAAAAUAUAAUUAUUUAUAUAUAAUUAUCUAAAUAAUAUUAUAUGUGCUUAUAUUUAAUUAUAAUUAUAAGGUUCAAAUAUGCAUUUAGCUCCUCAAACUUGACACCUUUUCCCAUGUUGGUACUUAUGAUUUUUUUGUCCCAAGUUGGUACCUAAUUUUUCAUUCUGUCAAGGGCUUUGUUACAAUAUUAAAUAUAGGACACAUGACACUCUUAGGAUGCCAUAAUCUAUUUUUUUUUAUAAAAAUAUAAUAAAAAUUUAAAAGAAACUAUAUAAAUAUAUAUUUUAAAAUAUAAAGGAAAUUAUAAAUUAUAAAAAUAUAUGUAAAUAAAAAUUUUAAAAUAUUACAAAAAAUCUAAAAUUCAAGUUGGAAAAAUCGAAAACCUAGAAAAUUUACACAUUUUUCUAAAUAAAUUGCAAACAAAUUAGAUAAAGAUAAAUUUUACAAUAAAUUUUAUGUUUAGAGAUGGGUGCAAAUUAUUACACGAUUUUUCAAGUUAAUAAGAAUGUAAAAGAUGAUGAUUUAAAAAUGGCUUACAAGAAGCUUUUUCGUUGUCCUUUUUUCUUUUUGUUAAUUAUUUGCUAGAUGAUGGGAAAAAUUGGGUUCCUUUGUUGGAAAUGCUAUAAAAACCAAAAAUUUACUAAGUUCUGGGGGUUUUGAGUUUUUGGGUUUAUCAAAAUCACACACACAUAUAAAUUUAUCAGUAUUUAGUUAUAUGUGUUUAAAUAUGAUCAUUUUUUAUAUUUAAUUAUAUGUGUUUGAGAAUAAAGUUGAUAGAAUUUGUAAAUAUGGAGGGUGAAAUUUAUUGAAUUAUUUAGAAUAAGAAUCAAAUUGAUAGAAUAUGUAAGUAUUAAGAAAUAAAUGUGUUAUUAUGCCAGUUGGAAAAGGCAACAUCAUCGCUUCCGUUACCUAUUUAAUGGAGAGUGAUCAAAAUAGAAACAAUCUAAAGUGUGAGUAAACAAAAUAGAAAUAAUAUAAAAUAUAAGUGACUAAAUUAAAAAAUUCAUAGCCGGGUGACUAAUCCUAUAGUUUACCCUAGACGGUAGAAGCAAUUAGGAUUAAUUCCACCAAACAUCUCAAACUAUUACUCAUAUUUUAAAUUGAACCCUAAACUUGUACACAUUCUAAUUAAAUUACUCAAAUAGAAUAUGAUAACAUGUUAUGCUAUUAUUCAUCGAUAAUGCAUAGAACUUAUGCACCAACAAUGCAUCAAAUAUUCUCAUUAAAAGAAAAUGUAUAAAAUAAGUUUUAUACCAUCUAUAAGCUGUAAAAAAAAAAUUAUCCAAUAAAAAAUAUAAAAGUACAUAUCUAUAAUUUCACAAAAAGAGAAUUACAUUAAUCAACCUCACAAAAUAUACAUCUCACAAAUCUGAUUGAGGUUAAAAACAAAGAAUGCAUGCAUGUACUGUGCAAUUAAAACCAUGAUCCAUAUUCAAUUCUAAAGUAUUGAACAUAUAAUUUUGCAUUAUUUUACCUCCCUUGAUUCUUCACACACUCUUUGGAAUAAAUUAACCAUCUAUUCCUUAUUUCAAUUUUAUUAAAAAGUUAGGUUCCCAUAAAGACAAUCUUUACAAACCAGUGCACCUAUCAUAAACACAUCAGGGAACAUUGCCAUGAGAGAGGACCUAAGAAAACAUAAUACAAACUACAAAACAUACAAUCAGGCACCCACACAAAAUGUUUAUUAAACAGCUACAGAACCUGCAUACCACCAAGCAAUGAAGUUUUCUGUUCUGUUUGCAACUUGUUGAACUCGCCCAAGUGUUGGCUUCUCUACCUUUUUGCAAAUCUUUGUCGGGCUCGCUCCACGAUCCUAAUCAACCACCAUGGUUUUCCUGUCGUGAAUACAAUGUAUGCCAUGCUCAUUCCCAGCACCAACCCACAUCCAUACCCCAUCAAUAUUGAAAAUUUCCAAUUCAAUUCAUCACCAUCAUCAUCUCUAUCAAAUUUGGCUGGAGUUUCCUCAUCAGUACCACAGUUUUUUGAUAAUGGCAAACCACAUAAAUCCAAAUUUCCCAUGUAGGAAUCGUUAGUGAAAGUAUCAAAUUGUUUGCCUUGAGGAACGGGUCCCUUCAGAUUAUUUUGAGAAAGGUUUAACACCUCUAAGAAUCCAAGAUUUUUUAACUCUGUUGGAAUUCUUCCUUCCAGCUUAUUUGAUGAGAGAUCUAAUGAUUCAAGCUCUGACAAAUUACCUAAAGAUGAUGGGAUAGGACCUAUUAAACAGUUAUGGGAGAGAUUUAGGACAAUAAGUAAAUGAAGCUCACCAAGUAUUUUUGGAAUUUCUCCCCUGAAUUGGUUACUAGAAAGGUCAAUAACCGUCCAAAUGGAUAAUAGUGAUUCAAACUGUAUUUCCAGCCCUUUUGCUGUAACAGAUAAACCAGAAGCAUAAUCCACCCAAAAUGAACCAAUUGCAUCUUUCGUGAUCUUUACUUCUCUCAUGUAAUUUGGUUCAACUUUCUUUCCAUACUCAUCUCUAAUGGCAUGCAUAUGCUCAAAAAAAAGGGUAGGUAAGUAGCCACUAAAAUUAUUGUGAGAAAGAUCAAUGAUUCGCAAUUUAGUUAAAGAAACUGUAGUAUCAAAGCUCUCUAUUUGGCCGUAAAGUCUAUUCGAUCUCAAGAUAAGAACUUGCAGCUGAUCCAAAUUUCCUAACCAACUUGGGAAAGUGUCAUUCAAAUUGUUGUUUCCAACAUUGAGAAGAUUUAAAGCUUUGCAAUUACCCAAAGAUCGUGGUAGUGACCCUUCUAAUUCAUUGUUGUUGAUGCGUAAACUUCUCAACAUGCAACCUUUAGCAAAAUUUUCUGGUAUUUGACCAUGAAAAUUAUUAUUCCUUAGAUCAACUGCUGUGAGAGAAGAACUCAAGUUUCCGAUGCACUUUGGAAUUGUUCCCUCCAAAAUUUUCCCAUCUAAAGAAAUACUCAUAAGGGAAGUCAAAUUGCAUAUUGAAGAAGGGAUUUCUCCAAUUAAGUUAUUAGUUGAAACUCCAUACAAUUGCAAUAAAGGUGGUGGUGUUGGAAUUCGACCUUAGAGAUAAAAUUGAAAAUGAGAUAGAAUUAGGAGUUUGAAGAUUCUUUGGAAUAUAAAUUAUAAAAUAACUAUAUUUGUGAUGAUGUGUACACUCAAUACAAAUAAUGCAUCACAACAACUUUUAAGUUGUAAUCUAUUGAAGGAAACUACUACUAUCUUCUAGAGAGAAAUUUUUAUUUCCCUUACUUAAAAGUAAAAAGGGAUUGCAUAAAUGUAUAAAAAAUAGAAGGAAAAAAAAAUCAAACUAUACUUAAUAGUUUAUUAUAAAAGAGAUAACCAUUUAAUAUCUUACUUAUAUUUCAUUUUUUAGUGUUUAUUAUUAUUUUUUGUACUUUUAUGUAUAUUUUAUAAUUUAUUAUUGGGGUUCACGGUUGUUAUUGUCAAGAAUAUCAUCUCUAAGACUUGAAUCUUGUUCUCCCCUUAAGAGAAUAAUAUGUUUUACCACUGCACCGAAUAUUUAUUGGUGUAGUAUUUAUUAUAACUACAAAUAAUUUUAAUUAUCUUUUUAUGAAACUCUAAGUUAGAGGUCAAAUAAAAAAACAAAUUAAUUGAUAUAGUGUUUAAAUUUUUAUCAUUAUAUGUAAAGUUUUAAUUAUUAGUUAUAAUUUUUUUCCUCACAAUUGAAAUUUAAAAACGAUAUUUUAUGAAAUUUAAAGAUAACAUAAUUAAUAGAAAAUUGACAUUUUCUUUAGAGUCGGAAUCUAAGUAGUAGCAAUAUCUGUAACUGGUACUUCAAAUGUACAUUUUAUGUUUAUAAUUUUUAUAAGAUUGGGAGUUAAUUGAGAUUGUAGCCUCAAAAUUGGUGUUAAUAAGAAUGUAAAAGAUGAUGAUUUAAAAAUGGCUUACAAGAAGCUUUUUCGUUGUCCUUUUAUUUUAUUUUAUUUGAUAAUUAUUUGCUAGGUGAUGGGAAAAAUUGGGUUCCUUUGUUGAAAAUCCUAUAAAAACCACAAAGUUACUAAGUAAUGGGGGUUUUGAGUUUUUGUGUAACAACCCGAUUUUGGGCUUAGUCGGAACAGUGGUUUUGGGACCACAAAUCUGACGAGGAAAAAUUUAUUCUUAUUAUGUCUUUAUGGUCUACAAUUUCACAGAAUAAUAUCGUGAAAAUUUCGUUCGAAAAUUUUGACGUUUGAGCACUCGAUUUAGUAAAAAGGACUAAAUUGUAAAAAGUGAAAAAAUUGAGUUCUACAUGUUAGAAGUGUCCAAUUGUUAUGAAAUUUUAAAUUAGAGAUCCUUAUUUGGUAAUUAGACUAUUGGUUAAGUUGGUGGACAAAAAUGGACAUGGUUAGGCAUGUUUCCAAAGUUUUUCAUUAAUGGCGUUUUAGUCAUUUUUUUAAUUAAAAUGAAUUAAAAACAAAAUUAAAAGCCAAUUUUUGUCCAUCUUCAAGCUAGGGGCCGAAAUUUUCAUGGAGAAACCAUGGAUAUGGUUUUUCAAGCUUCCAAGCUCGAUUGUAAGUCCGUUCUAGCCCCAUUUUUAAUGCUUUUCACGUUUUUGAAAUCCUUGUAACAUGAUUUAUUUAUUUCUACCAUUUAUUUGAGAUAUGAUGAAGGUCUAGAUUUUGACCCAUGUUAUAAAUUUGUGUAUUUUGAUGGUUAAUGGUAGAUUUUGACCCAUUUAUUUGUGUAUUUUCGGUGAAAAUGCAUAAAAGGACUAGUUUGUAAAAAGAUUGUAAAAUGUGUGUAAGUGUGUGAAUAAGUGAAAAUUGUGGAAUGCUAUAGUUAUGAAAAUGGUUCAGCUAGGCCUAAAAUGCAAAGAAAUUGAAUAAAAUUAUUUUACAAGCCUAAGGGUAAAAUCAUAAUUUUGUGAAACUUUAGGGGAAAAGAUGUAAUUUUUCCAAAGUGUGAUUUUUGGACUAAAUUGAAUAAUUUGAGUGUUAAAUAAGGUAAAUGUGUUAUUAUAAAUUAAGAAAGACGAGAAAUUGACUUUGAUCAGUGAAAAAAAGUGAAAUUAUGAAAGAGUAUAUUUAGCAACAAAAUAGUUUAGAUAGAAAUAGUUGUGUGAUAUUGAAAAAUCACCAAAAAUCGUGUAAAUUGAAUUAGAGGCUGAAUAAUAUAUUAAAUUAAAGCUAAAUGAGUCUAUUUUCACAUAAAAGAGACAGAGCAAGCAAAAGAGUUUUAUAUUAUGAGAUAUUUUAAUUUUAGUGAGAUAGGGCCAGAAUGAUUUCGAAAUUCCCUCUUUUGAAUUUGGAAAAUCAUUAAAAAUUUUACAAAAAUAAUUAGGAGCUAAACUUUAUAUUUUUAGAAUCUUGAAUGAGUAUAGUUUCAAAAUAAACAAACAGGAACAUUAUCCAAAUUCUAUACAAUGAGAUAAUUAAUUUUUAGUGAAGAGGGGUCAGAACUGUCGAGCAUUGAAAUAGGAGAAAAUUUAAAGAAUAAAAUGUACUUAUUGGAUAAGAAAAAAAUAAUGAAAAUUUUAUGGUAAGAAUAUAUAUGAGUCUAGUUUCAGGUAAAAUGAAAGGAUCUUAAUUUGGAGCUCUGUAGCUCGAGAUAUAAAUAAAUUAGUGACUUUGACUCAGACAGACAGCUUGAAUUUACAUACAGGAAAAUAGUGAAAGAAUGGAUAAUGUUGUUUAAAUGUGUUAUACACAUUAAGGAUGUGGAAUGGAGAGGAGGAGGAGGAAAACUGGAAAAAUAUAGGAACGAUUCAUGUAUAAUUGGUCAUAUGCUCGAUUAUAAUUGAUAAAUGAUGAAAUAGAAAUGAUGCUUAUAUUUGUGCAUUAUUGGUCAUGGUUUAAGUUCAUGUGGGAAAAUAAGUUUCAUAGUAUGUGUGUAUGGUAUAUUGGGUAUAUGAUUUUGCAUGAAGUAAUGUCAUGAAUGGUUUAUGAAUUAACACAUGUCGGUAAGUUACGUGUAAAUAAUAGCAAUAUAUUUUUAUAAAUUGUGAAUUAUAUUUGGUAUGUGAAUUAAUAUUGAAUGUGGAAGGAAAAUUGUUCAUGAAUUAUUCAAGUGAUAAAGUGCUUAAAAUAAAGUGUUAAGUGCAAAUUCCUGGUUGAACUUAGGAAUAGAAGUGGAUACAAGUGACAUGUCACUAGAGACUAGUGUUAUAGUGUUACAGUGAGUCCCGGUUGCUGGGUGAUCUAGCAUGUGUUGCAGAUACCUGACAGCUUGUAUGAGCAGGCCCGUGGACAUUUUCAGUGUUAUUGAUUAGUGGUAACUUCGGCUACAUUUCAAUGGUAGCUACAGCUACAUAUCAGUGGUAGCUUCGGCUACAUUUUAGUGGUAUCUACGUCUACAUAUCAGUGGUAGCUUCGGCUACAUAUUAGUGUGACACUUAUGUGCUAAUUCUCUACUUAUUCGUGUAUAUUCCGAAUGUUCAAUGGGAUUAAUAAUGAGUUAAAAUGAAUAUGAAAUGUGGUGUACAUGCUUAGGCUUUGGUCAAGUUGUGGCUCAAUUAUGCCACGUUAAACUUAUAUUUAUGCAUUGUAUUGAUACGUUUAUGUUUUGUGUAAUAUGCAUAGGAACGGGUGUGGAAAGGUAAUGAAUUAAUAAGUUCAUACUUGAAGGGUAAAAUGACGAAAAAGGGGAUGAUGAGUUGAAUUGAUGUUGCUAUUUAAGCUAGAGUGAUAUUUUUAUUGGAAAAUUGAGAAUUUCAUAAAUGUGUUAAUGAAUGAUAUAAUCGAUAUACGUUGAGUUAAAUGUUAAAUACGUAUUAGUAUUGAACUUAAUAACAUUGAAUUGUACGUGAAUUAAAUGGAAAUUGCUAGUGAUAUGAUUUAAAUUGUGAGCAUGAGAAAUUGUGAAUUGAAUGAAAUGGAAAUGAAGCAUUGAAUUGCAUGAGUAUGUAUCGGGUCUCGUAGGUCCUAUUUAUUAUGAUUAUAAUAUUUUGAGGAUAUAUUGUGAAGAGUUAUAAAAACAUGUUAAUAAUUUUAAAAGUUUUAAUUUAGAUGAAAUUUUAUAACUCGGUUAAAUACAUUUACAAGUGUAUGUGUUCUGGUAAUGCCUCGUACCCUAUUUCGGUGUUGGAUACGGGUAAGGGGUGUUACAUUUUGGGUUUAUCAAAAUAACACUCACAUAUAAGUUUAUCAGCAUUUAGUUAUAUGUGUUUAAAUAUAAUCAUUUUUUAUAUUUAAUUAUAUGUGUUUGAAAAUAAAGUUAAUAGAAUUUUUAAAUAUGGAGGGUGAAAUCUAUUGAAUUAUUUAGAAUAAGAAUUAAAUUAAUAGAAUGUGUAAGUAUUAAGAAAUAACCGUGUUAUUAUGCCAGUUGGAAAAGGCAACAUCAUCACUUAAUCGUUAACUAUUUAAAGGAGAGUGAUCAAAAUAGAAACAAUCUAAAGUGUGAGUGACCAAAAUAGAAAUAAUAUAAAUGUAAGUGACUAAAUUAAAAAUAUUCAUAGUUGGGUGACUAAUUCUAUAGUUACCCUAGAUGGUAGAAGCAAUUAGGAUUAAUUCCACCAAACAUCUCAAACUAUUACUCAUAUUUUAAAUUGAACCCUAAACUUGUACACAUUCUAAUUAAAUUACUCAAAUAGAAUGUGAUAAUGUGUUAUGCUAUUAUUCAUCGAUAGUGCAUAGAACUUAUGUACCAACAAUGCAUCAAAUAUUCUCAUUAAAAGAAAAUGUAUAAAAUAAGUUUUAUACCAUCUAUAAUUUGUAAAAAAAUAUGUAUUGAAUAAAAAAUAUAAAAAUACAUAUCUAUAAUUCCACAAAAAGAAUUACAUAUCUAUAAUAUCUUUUUAUAAAUUCAAUUCCAAAUCUCCUGUACUAAAUCAACCUCACAAAUCUGAUUGAGGUUAAAAAGAAAGAAUGCAUGUAUUUUGCAAUUAAAACCAUGAUCCAUAUUCAAUUCUAAACUAUUGAACAUAUAAUUUUGCAUUAUUUUACCUCCCUUGAUUCUUCACAAACUCUUUGGAAUAAAUUAACCAUCUAUUCCUUAUUUCAAUUUUAUUAAAAAGAUAGGUUCCCAUAAAGACGGUCUUUACAAACCAGUGCACCUCUCAUAAACACAUCAGGGAACAUUGCCAUGAGAGAGGACCUAAGAAAACAUAAUACAAAGCACCCACACAAAAUGUUUAUUAAACAGCUACUGAAAAAGGCCUGCAUACCACCAAGCAAUGAAGUUUUCUGUUCUGUUUGCAACUUGUUGAACUCGCCCAAGUGUUGGCUUCUCUACCUUUUUGCAAAUCUAUGUUGGACUCGCUCCACGAUCCAAAUCAACCACCCUGGUUUUCCAGUCGUGAAUACAAUGUAUGCCAUGCUCAUUCCCAGCACCAACGCACAUCCAUACCCCAUCAAUAUUGAAAAUUUCCAAUUCAAUUCAUCACCAUCAUCAUCUCUAUCAAAUAUGGCUGGGGUUUCCUCAUCAGUACCACAGUUUUUUGAUAAUGGCAAGCCACAUAAAUCCAAAUUUCCCAUGUAGGAAUCGUUAGUGAAAGUAUCAAAUUGUUUGCCUUGAGGAAUGGGUCCCUUUAGAUUAUUUUGAGAAAGGUUUAACACCUCUAAGAAUCCAAGAUUUUUCAACUCUGUUGGAAUUCUUCCUUCCAGCUUAUUUGAUGAGAGAUCUAAUGAUUCAAGCUCUGACAAAUUACCUAAAGAUGAUGGGAUAGGACCCAUUAAACAGUUAUGGGAGAGAUUUAGGACAAUAAGUAAAUGAAGCUCACCAAGUAUUUUUGGAAUUUCUCCCCUGAAUUGGUUACUAGAAAGGUCAAUAACCGUCCAAAUGGAUAAUAGUGAUUCAAACUUUAUUUCCAGCCCUUUUGCUGUAAUAGAUAAACCAUCAGCAUAAUUCAUCUCAAAUAUAAUAAAUUUCUUCAUCUUUACUUCUCUCAUGUAAUUUGGUUCAACUUUCUUUCCAUACUCAUCUCUAAUGGCAUGCAUAUGCUCAAAAAAAGGGGUAGGUAAGUAGCCACUAAAAUUAUUGUGAGAAAGAUCAAUGAUUCGCAAUUUAGUGAAAGGAACUGUAAUAUCAAAGCUCUCUAUUUGUCCGUAAAAUCUAUUCGACCUCAAGAUAAGAACUUGCAGCUGAUCCAAAUUUCCUAACCAACUUGGGAAAGUGUCAUUCAAAUUGUUGUUUCCAACAUUGAGAAGAUUUAACCCUUUGCAAUUACCCAAAGAUCGUGGUAGUGACCCUUCUAAUUCAUUGUUGUCGAUGCGUAAACUUCUCAACAUGCAACCUUUAGCAAAAUUUUCUGGUAUUUGACCAUGAAAAUUAUUAUUCCCUAAAUUAACUGCUAUGAGAGAAGAACUCAAGUUUCCGAUGCACUUUGGAAUUGCUCCCUCCAAAUUAUUCUCAUCUAAAAGCAUAACCAUAAGGGAAGUGAGACUGCAUAUUGAAGAAGGGAUUUCUCCAAUUAAGCUAUUAUUUGAAGCUUCAUACGAUUGCAAUAAAGGUGGUGGUGUUGGAAUUCGACCUUAGAGAUAAAAUUGAAAAUGAGAUAGAAUUAGGAGUUUGAAGAUUCUUUGGAAUAUAAAUUAUAAAAUAACUAUAUUUGUGAUGUGUACACUCAAUACAAAUAAUGGAUUAAUUUACUACACUACUUCUAACCAUUUUUAGAUGCAUCACAACAACUUUUAAGUUGUAAUCUAUUGAAGGAAACUACUACUAUCUUCUAGAGAAAUUUUUAUUUCCCUUACUUAAAAGUAAAAUGGGAUUGCAUAAAUGUAUAAAAAAUAGAAGGAAAAAAAAUAUCAAACUUUAUUAUAAAAGAGAUAACCAGAAUACAAAGAUUGGGGUAGAGUCAAGUUUCCAAAUUCUAUAGGCAUAAUUCCCUCCAAAGAGUUGUCAUGCAAUGAUAAAUACAUCAACUCUUUACACUUGAAUAAGCUAUUUGAAAUUCUACUGAAAUUUGAUUAUGUGUGAAGCUCAAUAAUUGCAAUUUAGAAAUGUUAUCAAACAUGAGAUGAUUAGUUUUGAAACUAAUUUUUUAUCGGUGAGAAAUUAUAUAAGAUUUACACAUGUAAGGAUCUUAACCUAAGUAAGAAUUAUUAUGAAAAUAUAACCAAAUGAAGCUUGAAAAAUUCUUCGCUAUUAUAGGAAUCUGCCAUUCUAAAUCAUUGUUAUAUAAUAUCAACUGUUAUAAGAAAUGAUAUUAUACUUGUUAUGUUGUUAUUAGAAAGAUUUAUGAUCUCGAGAGUAGUCAAAUUGUUAAUAGCCGAAAGGCUUUCACCUAAAACAUAUAAUCAAAUUUGUCAAAAUAGCUUGAUGAUAGAACCCAUGCACUUUAUUUUUUUCUGUAAUUAGAGAGAGAAGUCAUGUACCUUGUUUCUCUUAUAUUAAACUUAUGGCUGAAAACAGUUUUAGAUUGUUUUCUCAAAAAUACUUACUUAUAUUCUUUGACUCAUCUUUAGAUUGUGUUUAUUGUUAUCCCCUUCUUCACUAACACUCAUCAUCAUCAUCUUUCUUGAUAAGCGAAUUUCUAAGUUUUGAAAUAUAUAAAACAAACAGUGACCAUUAAUAUAUUGCCCAAAAUCUCAAAAUCAUUUAACACGAAGAAAACCAUUACUUUGAUUAAUUUAAGCCGAGAACAAACAACAAUUGUGGGUGAACCCAAAGAAAAAUGAUGGAUCAAAAGCCAAGAUGAAGAAGCCAAUUUCUACCAUAAGGUUUUGUAUGUAGGUAUAAGGCAAAUCAUAAGGAGAGGAAUAACUAAAUUUAAUAAAUUUUAAUCAUUCUUCAAUAUCUUUAAAAUUUUCAUUCCAAGGAUGUAGGCACAACAUCCCUUGAUUAUAAUGUAAAAUUUCCAAUUUCCAUAGGGAUACUUCCACCCAAAGAGUUGUUAGAGAAUGAUAAAAAUGUUAACUCUUUGCACUUGAUUAAACUAUUUGGAAUUCUACCCGAAAUACAUUCAUUACAUAUUUAUUUUUGCAUAUCUCGUUUUAUUUACUCUCACUAGACAUUUUAUAUAUAUAUAUAUAAAUUAUUAAAUAUUAAAUUUCAUAUAUAUAAAAAAAUCCACAUAUUACUUAUUUUAUUAAUACAUAAACAGUAAAUCGUUUAAAUGAUUUCAAGUUUAAAAAAACAAUAUAUUUUAGAUUUUAUGUGAAUUCUUUUAAGUUCAAUAUUCAAAUUAUUCAGAUUUCCAUCAUCAAAGUUGAAUAGUUUGUAAUUCAAAUUAUUGCUCUCUUUUUACUUGUACCAACAUUUCCUAUAUUUUUCUUAUGUUAAAAUUGUCAAAGUAUUAAAUAUAUAAUUAAUUGGAGAGAAGUCAAAAGCUAAUUAAUAAUAUAUAGGGAUUGCAUAAAAGUAACAACAAAAAGAAAAAGAUAUAUGAAAUUAUACCUGAUAAGUUGUUAUUAGAAAGUCCAAUAAUUUGGAGAGUGGUCAAGUUUUCAAUAGUUGAUGGGAUUUCACCUAAAAAUAUAAAAUAAUUAAUGCUUAGUAUUUUUGUUCAAAUAUAGGAUACAUCAUCGAAGCUGAACAAAUAUAUAUUAAAAAGGGUAUAAAGUAGGUUCUAAUUAAAAAUCAAACCUUAAAUUGAUUUAAUGUAAAAUUUAAUUCUUUUCUUAUCACCAAAUAAAUUUACUUUUAGUAAAUUAGGAGUUUUAAUAAAAUACUUGUAAGAACUGAUUGUUUUAUGACUAGGUGUUUUGUUUUCAAUAUAUUGUUUACUUUUAGUUGUUUUGAACAAUUAAAAAGGGAUUGCAUAAAUGUAACAACUAAAAAAUAAUAAGUUGUUAUUAGAAAGACUAAUGGCUUCGAGAGUGGUCAAGUUUUCAACAGUUGAUGGGAUUUCACUUAAAAAUAUAAAUAAAUAGGUCAAAAUAUCUUGGUGCUAGAAUUAUGUUAUCUUUGUGUGUGUACUUUUUUUAAAUUUAUGUUUAAUGUAGAUAGCUAACUUAGAAGUAACUCAAAAUAUAGAGAAAUUUUAAUAAAUACUCGAACACAGUUGAACUUUUGACAAUUUAUAACUCAAAUUUGUUUCUUAUACUCAAAAUACUUGCCCUAUUUUUUUAAGCUAAAAGUAAUAUAUUAAGAAACUAAAAAAAUUGUAAAGCUAAUUAAUAAUAUGGAACAACAACUAAAAGGAGUUACAUAAAUGUAACAACAAAGCAAAAGAAAAUUUUUGAUGAAAAAAAUGAUAUUAUAUCUGUUUAAGAAGUUAUUGGAAAGAGUAAUGUACUUGAGAGAAAUAAGAUUUCUAAAAAUAGAUGAAAGAACAUAUAAUUAAUAAUUUAUAUAUUCUAUUUUGAUGAAAAAACAGUCUCUAUUUUUAAUUACUUCAAAAUAUUGCAUAAAUUUAAUAACAAAAUGGAGAAUAAAAGAAACAUGAAAUUAUACCUGUCAAUUUAUUAUUGAAAAGAGAAAGUAUUUGGAGAGAAGUCAUGUUUCCAAUAACAAGAGGAAUUUUACCUGAAACAUAUAAUUAAAUCAGUAAAUAUAUAAUUAUUUUUAUUAAUUAUUUUAAGAGUUUAAUAAAGCAAAUCUAAAAGGUAGAAGAAAUAGCUAAUUAGAAGUAGUGUGUGAUUCAAAAGGGUAUAAAGUAGGUCCAAAUUAAAAAUCAAAUUUUAAAAUAAUUUAAUGUAAAAUUUAACUCUUUUCUUAUCACAAAUAAAUUUACUUUCAGAGAAAUUAGAAGUUUUAAUAAAAUAGUUGAAAUAAGUGAUUGUUUAUGACUAGGUGAAAAUUAGAUGAAAAAAACAUAUAAUUAAUAAUUUAUAUAUCUAUUUCUCUCAUACUAUGAACUAUGGUCGAGCAAAAAUUAAUAAAAAAAAUCAAACGGAUAGAAAUAGCUUAGUUAGAAGUUUGCAUAUCUCAUUUUAUUUUAUUUACUCUCACUAGACAUUUAAUCUUUUAAGGUAACUUUUGUUUUAUUUACUUAAAAAAUUGCAUAAAUUUAAUAAAAAAAAGAGAAUAAAAGAAAUAUGAAAUUAUAUCUGUCAGUUUGUUAUAGCUAAGAUAAAGUGAUUGGAGAGAAGUUAAAUUUCCAAUAACAAGAGGAAUUUCACUUGAAACGUAUAAUUAAAUCGGUCAAAAUUUACAAAUAUUUUCCUACCAAGCCCUUAAUUUAUUUGUUGAGCAUAUUAGUGUCUGUUUCAUUUACCUAUUUUUAAAUAUGCAAAUUUAAUUUAGUCUUAUAAUAAUAUGAGUAAUAUUGGGCUCCAACCACAAUACACUGUAAAAAAUGAAAGCCAGAAAAAUGCAAGACUGCAUGUCUACACCAUAUUAUUUUUAUAAAUAAAAGAGUAAUCUCUCUCUAUAUAAAUAAAUGAGUUGGGUUGGAUUCCAUUUAAUUGAAAAUGAGUUGGAUUGGCUGAUUAUUUGAUUUUGGGUUAAAUGAAAAUCAACUUCAGCCUGGAUGUAGGUAUUGGGUUUAAUGUAACUUAUAUAAAGAGUUUAGUAUGUCGCUUUAUUUGACUUAUUUGGUUUGGACACUCAAAUUUGAAAUUGAUCAAUUAAACCAAUAGAAUUGAGUCUCAACUAAAUAAAGUGAAAACUCAACUAAAUAGAAUUGGAUUAAAGUGAUUCAAUUAAUCAAAUUUUCACAUACUUAUAACUAUCGUGAUUCAUUCAUAUUAUUAUUCUCAUACUAUAAUCAUGUUAUGUAAUAAAAUUGUGUAAUAAAGUACUUGAUUUUGUUUUCCUAACUUGAUGUAUUUGGAAAGAUCGAAGCUUUUUUCUAUUUUAGGGUGUCUCUUGGAGCACAGGUGAGAUUAUUAAGAUAUUAUAUAUUUUGGGCAAAAUAGUUUGUUUCUUUUCAUAAGGAAGACAUUUCUAGACAAAAAGAACAAAAGUUAGCAGUUGAGAUGUCAGAAAGUUGGAUCAAUCUUUGCACUGAUGGGGCGGUCCAAAUUGCCCUGGGUGAUUCUAAAGCGGGGGAAGUCAAAAGAAAUGGAAAAAGGGAGUGGAUUAUGGGAUACAACAAAAAUCUAGGCAAAUGCUCAGCCUUCAAUGCUGAACUAUGGGUAGUUCUUGAUGGAUUAGCUCUCAUUCACAAAGGGCGCUAUGAUGGUGUAUUGAUACAAACUGAUAGCUUGGAGGUGGUUAAAGCCAUUCAGGACUCCUCUCCCUCAAGCUUGAAUUCUACCCUCAUCAGACGUAUAAAUGUACGUUCAUGGGCCAUUCAACAUUUUCCUAGAGAACAUAAUAAAGUUGCCGAUUGCUUGGCCAAAAUGGCCUUUGAUACGAAUAUGUCACUUUAGUUAAUUAAAUCAAGAACAAAUAUAGUUAUGGAUGAACAAAUAUGGGAAGCAAAGAAAAAUGAUGGAUCAAAAGGGAAGAAUAAGCUAAUUUCUGCCAUAAGGUAGAUGGUGAACUUAGGAUGUGGAGUUCAAAUUAUUGAUAUUUUUCUUAUUCUUAUAUUUUUCUAAUUUUAAAGUAGUUAAAGGAUUAAAUGUGUAAUUAAUUGUUUUAAGCCAAAAGUAUUAUAGUAAUAUAAAAAGAAAAUAUGAGUAUAUAAAGAAAUACUCAAAUUUGUUUCUUAUACUCAAAAUGUUUACACAUAAGACACAAUAAUAUUUAUAACUUUUUGUAAUGAAAUAAUAUUCAAAACUUCAACUUUAUUUGGAAGAAAAAUUGGAAAUAAAUAAUAUUUGCUAUACACAUGAAUGAUUAGUAGAGUUUAAUUAUAUAUAUAUUUUUUAUAUUUUAAUAUUUAAUAAAAUUACAUCUUUUAAUUCAAAAAGAUAUUUUAAUCAACCGUUUUAUUAGUUUUCGAGUUCAGGCGUAUAUAUAUAAUAUAUAUGUCGAGCUAGAAAUAGUACAAAAAGUUGACAUUUUUUGAAAGUAUGAUAAUUUGAAUAGAAGUAACAUAUACUAAUGUGGAGCAAUUGUUCCAUAUAAUCCUUUUUAUGAUGAAAUGAUUGCUUAAUUUACUUCAUAACUUCUUACAUUUAGACAUAAUNNNNNNNNNNNNNNNNNNNNNNNNNNNNNNNNNNNNNNNNNNNNNNNNNNNNNNNNNNNNNNNNNNNNNNNNNNNNNNNNNNNNNNNNNNNNNNNNNNNNUAAAUUUAAUAAAAAAAAGAGAAUAAAAGAAACAUGAAAUUAUACCUGUCAAUUUGUUAUAGCUAAGAUAAAGUGAUUGGAGAGAUGUCAAGUUCCCAAUAACAAGAGGAAUUUCACCUAAAACAUAUAAUUAAAUCAAUAACUUUUAUUUUAUUUACUUAAAAAGAUUGCAUAAACGAAACAUGAAAUUGUACCUGUAAAUGUAUUAUUGUAAAGAGAAAGUGUUUGGAGAGAAGUCAAGUUUCCAAUAACAAGAGGAAUUUCACCUGAAACAUAUAAUUAAAUCAGUAACUUUUAUUUAUUUACUUAAAAAGAUUGCAUAAAUUUAAAAACAAAAAGGAGAAUAAACGAAACAUGAAAUUGUACCUAUAAAUUUAUUAUUGUAAAGAGAAAGUGUUUGGAGAGACGUCAAGUUUCCAAUAACAAGAGGAAUUUUACUUGAAACAUAUAAUUAUCAAAUAAAUUUUCUUAAUAAAAUACUUUUAGUGCAAUUAGAAGUCUUACUUAUAAAUGGUAAUUUUUAUUAACAAUAAAAAAAUAUUUAUCUUUGUCAAAAAAAAAAAACACUAAACACAAAAUACUUGUUAUUAUCAGAUAAAUUUUUAUUAAUAAUAAGAGGAAUUUCACCUAAAACAUAAAAUUAAAUCAGUAAAUAUAUAAUUAUUUUUAUUAAUUAUUUUAAGAGUUUAAUAAGGCAAAUCUAAAAGGUAGAAGAAAUAGCUAAUUAGAAGUAGUCUGUGAAUCAAAAGGGUUUAAAGUAGGUCCAAUUAAAAAUCAAAUCUUAAAAUAAUUUAAUGUAAAAUUUAACUCUUUUCUUAUCACCAAAUAAAUUUAGUUUUAGAGAAAUUAGAAGUUUUAAUAAAAUAGUUGAAAUAAGUGAUUGUUUAUGACUAGGUGAAAAUUAGAAGAAAAAAAACAUAUAAUUAAUAAUUUAUAUAUCUAUUUCUCUCAUACUAUGGACUAUGGUGGAGCAAAAAUUAAUAAAAAAAAUAAAACGGAUAGAAAUAGCUUAGUUACAAGUUCAAUGUUAAUUCAAUAAAUUUUUAAAAAAAAAAAACACAUUGUUUCCAAAAGGGUAAGAAAUAUAUCCAAAUUAUAAUUUAGAUCAUAAAUUAAUUUAAUGUAAAAUUUAAAUAAAGUUUAAAAUUUUUGUUAUUAUCAGAUAAAUUUUCUUAAUAAAAUACUUUUAGUGAAAUUAGAAGUCUUACUUAUAAAUGGUAAUUUUUAUUAACAAUAAAAAAAAAUAUUUAUCUUUGUGCCAGAAAAAAAUACUGCAUAGAUCAUGAAAAGGAAAAAACUAAAACAUCCAAAAAAAUAUAUGUAAAACACUGAACACAAAAUUCAUAGUUGUAUAGGAGGAUUAGAUACAUUGGUCCCAUAAUGAAGAAAUCAUCACUUCAUUUAAUUAAAGCAAGAACAAAUGAAGUUAUGGAUGCACAAAUAUGGGAACCAAACAAAAAUGAUGGAUCAAAAGGGACGAAUAAGUUAAUCAAUCAUUUUUAUUAGUUUUCGAGUUGAGGCUUUUAUAUAUAUAUAUAUAUAUAUAUAUAUAUAUAUAUAUAUGCAGAGUUAGAAAUACUACAAAAGGUUGAUAUUUUUUAAAAGUAUGAUAAUUUGAAUAGAAGUAACAUAUGCUACUGUGGAGUAAUUGUUCCAUAUAAUCCUUUUUAUGAUGAAAUGAUUGCUUAAUUUAUUUCAUAACUUCUUACAUUUUUUAAAUGCAUUAAUAAUGACUCUAAGGUUUUAAUCUUUUAAGGUAACUUUUAUUUUAUUUACUUAAAAAAUUGCAUAAUUUUAAUAACAAAAAGGAGAAUAAAAGAAACAUGAAAUUAUACCUGUCAAUUUGUUAUUGCCAAGAUCAAGGAAUUGGAGAGAAGUCAAGUUUCCAAUAACAAAAGGAAUUUCACCUGAAACGUAUAAUUAAAUCAGUAAAUAUUUGUAAAUAUUUUCCUAGCAAACCCUUAAUUUAUUUGUUGAGCAUAUUAGUGUCUGUUUCAUUUACCUAUUUUUAAAUAUGCAAGUUUAGUUUAGUCUUAUAGUACUUAUGAUAACCCAAAAAUAUUUUAAUUAUAAUACUCAAAUUAAAUAUAAAAUUAGAAAAUAUUUAUUUUUGUUCCAGAAAAAAACACCGCAUAGAUCAUAAAAAGGAAAAACUAAAACAUCCAAAAAAAAUAUGUCAAACACUAAACACAAAAUUCAUAGUUGUAGAGGAGGAUUAGAUACAUUGGUCCCAUAAUAUGUCACUCAAAAUCUCAAAAUCAUCCAACAAAAAGAAAUCAUCACUUUAGUUGAGGCUUACAUAUAUAAUAUAUAUGUUGAGUUAGAAAUACUACAAAAGGUUGACAUUUUUUAAAAGUAUGAUAAUUUGAAUAGAAGUAACAUAUGCUAAUGUGGAGUAAUUGUUUCAUAUAAUCCAUUUUAUGAUGAAAUGAUUGCUUAAUUUACUUCAUAACUUCUUACAUUUAGACAUAAUAAUGAGGUUUUAAUCUUUUAAGGUAACUUUUAUUUUAUUUACUUAAAAAGAUUGCAUAAAUUUAAUAACAAAAAGGAGAAUAAACGAAACAUGAAAUUGUACCUGUAAAUUUAUUAUUGUCAAGACCAAGUGAUUGGAGAGAAGUCAAGUUUCCAAUAACAAGAGGAAUUUCACCUGAAACAUAUAAUUAAAUCAAUAACUUUUAUUUUAUUUACUUAAAAAGAUUGCAUAAACGAAACAUGAAAUUGUACCUGUAAAUUUAUUAUUGUAAAGAUAAAGUGUUUGGAGAGAAGUCAAGUUUCCAAUAACAAGAGGAAUUUCACCUGAAACAUAUAAUUAAAUCAGUAACUUUUAUUUUAUUUACUUAAAAAGAUUGCAUAAAUUUAAAAACAAAAAGGAGAAUAAAUGAAACAUGAAAUUGUACCUAUAAAUUUAUUAUUGUAAAGAGAAAGUGUUUGGAGAGAAGUCAAGUUUCCAAUAACAAGAGGAAUUUUACUUGAAACAUAUAAUUAUCAAUAAAUUUUCUUAAUAAAAUACUUUUAGUGCAAUUAGAAGUCUUACUUAUAAAUGGUAAUUUUUAUUAACAAUAAAAAAAUAUUUAUCUUUGUCAAAAAAAAAAACACUAAACACAAAAUACUUGUUAUUAUCAGAUAAAUUUUUAUUAACAAUAAAAUUGAAAAUUUUUGUUAUUAUCAGAUAAAUUUUCUUAAUAAAAUACUUUUAGUGAAAUUAGAAGUCUUACUUAUAAAUGGUAAUUUUUAUUAACAAUAAAAAAAUAUUUAUCUUUGUGCUAGAAAAAAACACCACAUAGAUCAUAAAAAGGAAAAAAACUAAAACAUCCAAAAAAAAAAUGUCAAACACUAAACACAAAAUUCAUAGUUGUAGAGGAGGAUUAGAUACAUUGGUCCCAUAAUAUGUUACUCAAUCUCAAAAUCAUCCAACAAAAAGAAAUCAUCACUUUAGUUAAUUAAAGCAAGGACAAAUAAAGUUAUGGAUAAACAAAUAUGGGAAGCAAAGAAAAAUGAUGGAUCAAAAGGGACGAAUAAGCUAAUUUCUGCCAUAAGGUAGAUGGUGAACUUAGGAUGUGGAGUUCCAAUAAAUACCUAAACAUACCUAAACUUUUGGCAAUACAAAAUCAAAUUCUAGUGGUUAAAAUUAUGAAAUGAGUAAUUAUUAUUUUUACAGCAAAAAAUAUGAGUAUAUAAAGAGAAAAAAAACAUAAAAAUGUAAAGCAAUAUAAAAAGAAGUUUUAAGGUAAGUAGGUUUGUUAUUUUUAAGAAUAUUAGUAAAGCAGGACAUAUGGUUUUGCUUAUAUAAGAAGUUGUUUCAUGCGAUGGAGAAAUGCAUAGGGAUGUCAUAUUACCCAUGUUUGCAUCUAAAUAUUUGAGUCUUAUUUGUAUUAAGAAAUAUAUUAUUUGAAAGAGUUUAAUAUUUUUAAGCUGUCUAAUAAUAAAUAAAUUAAUCAAAGAAAAAAUAAAGCAUCUAAAAAUAUAUGUCUUAUACCAAUAUUCUUAUAUUUGUCUAAUUUCAAAGUAGUUAAAGGAUUAAAUGUGUAAUUAAUUGUAUUUUUAAAACGGCAGUUAUUUUUAUUUUUAUAUUUGUUUAUUUUUUUAUUUUAAAAAAAUAUAUUUAAACUUCGCAAAAUGAAUGGAUAUAUUUGAACACGAAAUAUGAUACGAUAAUUUAGUGAGAAUGAAACAAAACAAUGGCAGAAAAAUGAUAUGAUGACAUUAAAUGGAAAAUAAGCGAAUGACUAAAUAAGUAAGUAAAUAAAGGAGAAUAAGAAGAAAAAGACCAAAAAAAAUUGCUAUGCUAAUGAAUAAUAUCAAUAUUUCUAUGAUGAUAACAAAACAACGAUUAAACGAUAAUCAUGUUGUGGUUAUUAUCUUAGUAUUAAAUUGAAUAAAUAAUAAUGACAAGAACAAAGAAUAAAAUAGAAUAAUAUGUGCAAAUGAAGGAUUGAAUUGAAAUCUAAAUAGAAUUAAAGGCACAAAUCAUAAUAAAUUAAAUAAAAAAUUGAAUAAGGGCUAAAAUUGAAUGUGCGAAAAGGGACGAGGACUAGAUGAGAAAUUAUUCCUAGUCCUACAAACGUGCCGUUUCAUGAUGGAUUGAAACGAAACAAAACCAAAAUCGCAGGGGAAAAUUAAAAAGAAAAAAAGAAGUAGGACUAAAUUGAAACAGACCAUAAAAGCAGAAGGGUUAAAAGCAUAAAUAUCCUCUCCAAGCAAAAACAAGCGGAUCCUAGGGGAUGAAUCGGGUCGCGUCAAAACAAUGCUAUUUUGGCGUCCAUGAGCAACGGCUCAAAAUGGUGCCGUUUCAUACACCUAUUUAAACCAAAAUUUUUUAAAAAAACUUUAUUUCUGCCAAAUUUUAGAAGAAAAAAAAAACUCGAAAGCCCUUUUUUUUUCUCGGGCCUCAAGUCCGGCCAUCAAGCGCCGCCGAGGCUCUGCUUAAAUGUGUACUUAAUUGUUUUUAAGCCAAAAGUAUUAUAGUAAAAAGUUAAAAGAUUGUAAAGCUAUUUAGUAAUAUAAGCACGAUUCUGUUAUAAGUAUUAUGACAGUAACAACAAAAAGGAAAAUAAAGAUAAUAUUAUACUUUUUAAGUUGUUAUUAAAAAGAGUGAUGAUCACGAGAGAAGUAAAGUUUCCAAUAACCGAUAGAAUUUCACCUAAAACAUAUAAUUAAAAUCAUUAAAAUUUACUAACAGAUCUUAAAUUCGUUAAAACUCAGCUGAUUGAGGAUUGUAUUUUGCGAGGCUGUGGGAGUUGUGUGAAGAAGAAAAAGAUGGAAUGGCAGUGGGUCAAUGCGGGUAGGUAUAAAUCUGAAACAUAUAAUAUCAACUAUGUACUAUGUAAUCAAAGUUACGAGAAAUCAUGUACUCUAUUUCUUUCCUAUUCAAGAAUAUCAACACAUAAAUAAUAAGGAUAGAAAAAAUAGCUAAUUACAAGUCUUGUGUGAUUCAAAAGGGUAUAAAGUAGGUCCUAAUUAAAAAUCAAACCUUAAAUUAAUUUAAUGUAAAAUUUAGCUCUUUUCUUAUCACCAAAUAAAAUUACUUUUAGUGAAAUUAGAAGUUCUAAUAAAAUACUUGUAAUAACUGAAUGUUUAUGACUAGGUUUUUUGUUUUCAACGUAUUUUUCUAAAAAUUUGCCUUAGAAAAAUAGUCUCUAUUAUUUUUAAGAAUAUUAUAAAAGCAAGAUAUGCCGCUAAGAGAAGUUCCUUUAAGUAUUUUUUCUCGGCCAAAAUAAAAGAGAACUGACGAAAGCGGUUAGUAAAACAUGAGAUGCUAAAUACAGACACAUGCCAGAAUAGGAAGGAAAAUUACAAACAAACUCCUAAACCAAAUAAUUGGUUGAUGGCUCAAUUCACAUAAAUAAUAUAUAUAUAUAUAUAUAUACUGUACGAUUAAGUUUGGUUUUGCUAGCACUGAACUUAGUGGUUAUUGUUUAAAGCCCCGCUUCACUAUUUAAAACAACUGUUGAUGGAAAUUAGAUAAAAAUGAAUGAAACGAUAAUUGUUUACCUUUGAGGUGGUUGUCACCAAGAGACAAAGUCUCGAGCAAAGUCAAAUUUCCAAUUUCUGUAGGUAUACUUCCCUCCAAGGAGUUGUUAAACAAUGAUAAAAACUUCAGCUCUUUGCACUUGAAUAAACUAUUUGGAAUUCUACCGGAAAUUUGAUUCCAACCCAAGCUCAACCUUUCUAGUUUUGACAAAUUGCCUAGAGUAGAUGGGAUAACACCAAUGAAGUUGUUAAGGUACAGAGACAAUCUUCGAAGUUUACUGAAGCAACCAAACCAUGGUGGGAUUUCUCCAUUGAAGCUAUUGUUACCUAAGUCCAAAUAAUUCAUCCGACGCAAAUUAGUUAACUCAAUGGGUAAAGAGCCUUGGAAACUAUUUUGAUGAAUAUCGAGCCAAGCAAGGAAAGAUAGAUUUCCCAAUUGAGAAGAAAUGGUGCCUGUGAGAUCCAUGCUUGACAAAUUCAGAGCAGUGACUCUAUGGUGUCUAGAUCCACAUGUGACACCAAUCCAGCUACAAACGGAGGUAGAAGUAGACCAAUUGGUUGCCAAAAAAUUGUGAGGAUCAUGAGUUAUAUGAGAUUUGAGUGCUAGAAGAGCAGAUUGAUCAACGGUGAUGCUAGAAUAUUUUGCAGACAAAAUAACCCCAAAGGUUGCGAAUAGCAGCCCAAACAUAAACGGAGGGAGGAAGCUUGGUUUUGCCAUAAGGUUGGAUAUGGGUGUAAGGCGCAUAAGGAGAGAAACAACCGAGUUUAAUACAUUUCUAAUGUUAGUUCAAUAUUCUUUAAAUACUUUAAUUUGAUUGUAAGGAUUUAGGUAAGGCAUCCAUUGACUCAUAAUUUGAGUAAGAAAUUCGUAUAAUCUUGUUGGUCCAACCAUGUUAUAGAGAAAAAAAAGGAAAGCCUAAAAUAGAAGACUUAGUCUGAAGUUGAAGAGUAGCAUUAAUAAUUCGAUUGUAGGUUUGAGAAACCCAGGAGCCUUUUAUAGGUUUAAGUUUUUACUAGGAGGAAAAAAUUUAAGAUGUAGAAAAUUUUUAUUAUUAUUAAAACUAUUAUCAAAUGCUUAUUUGACGCAAGUUCAAAUUGUGUGAUCUCAUUUUAUAUUCCAAUGACAAAUUGAAUAAUUAGUGAGUUUAAUUUUAAAUUUUUUUAUUUUUAAUUAAUACAAAAAAUCUCAACUCAAAUUUUAAAUUAAAAAUUAAAAGUACUUUGUAAGUUUAUAGCACUUGUAAGUCUCAUUUCAUAAAUUACGUAAGCUAAAUUUAGCAAAAUCUUAUAUUUGAUUAUGAAAGUAGUAUGUUGUCUUACAUAAGCUAAAUUUAGAGUUGUUUGGAUUUUAUACUCAACUAAAUAAUUAAUAUCUUAUUUUUUGAGUGUAUAGAUUACAAAUGUUGUAGGAAUGUAUCCUUUGAGAUUGUUUGAUUCUAGUUUUUGACAAAUUGCUCAAAGUUGAUGGGAUAAAAUAAGUGAAUUUGAUGGUGUUCGGAAACAAGCUUCGAUGUUUAGUGAGAUUAAAAUUUGUUGGCAAAUUAAAUUACUCAAUGGGUUUCGAGGGUCAUGCUUGUUCCCUAUCAACCCAAGUACUACUAAGUCAGUACCCCUCUAAAUGGGGAGAACUUUGUUGAUCUUUCAUUGGUUUAAAAGUCCAAAUACCAAUUGUAAGGUAUCAAAACAACAAAGACAAGUAUUGGGGACCAGCUGAAGAGAGUGAGUGACACGGUUUGAUUUAGAGUCUCAUGAUUGCAACAUGUUUGAUCGUGAUCCUCAACUUUGGUUGUAAUGUCUAACAAAAUAAAUACCAAGAUGAAAAGACCCUUUUUCUAUAAAAUCUAAAUAUCUAGUUUUGAAGACAUGCCUUUGGUUCUCAUCUCUUACUUGUUCUGCACGGCUAAGUCGCAGUUGCUUCGAUGGACCUAUGUUGGAAUCAUGAAUUGAAAAGAAUGCCAACAAGUAAUAGAAACUUUGUAAUAUUCAGAUAGAUCAAAUUAAGCUUUGUGUGGACCAUUCGUGAUUGAAGCCAGUUCUGCCCUGGAUUAUUAUAGAUCAAAUAAUUACUUUGGCAACCUUGAAUUUAACAAUCUAAUCAUUAAAUUUAACAAUAUAAUUAUAGUUGCCUUGCAUUUAAAAUUUUGAAUUGAUCUGAUGUAUCAUUUCAGUCCAAAACUUUAUUUAUUUCGUAUAUAUUAUAUAAAGCAAAGUUUUUAAGUUUUUUUAAUGUAACUAAGUAAGCAUGUUUCUUCUGCCGCGAGUCAAAUGUUUACAGCAAUUUUAGCCAUAUCGUACAUUUUAUAUCAUUAUAUUGUUGCCUUAAUUAAAGUAGAAUAAUAUAUAUUUCCAUAAGUUUUAAAAAAAUAUCAUAAAUUUCCAUUGGGAAUUUGUUGGUGCAUUCUAAAUCACAUAAUAAUCAGAAAUAUGGAAGAUUUCCAUAUAUUCUCGCUUUUUAGUAUAAUUAAUAAUAAUAAAUCUUGUUGAUUCUGGUCUGCCUUUACUAUGAAAAAAAAAUUUAUAAAAUUAGAACCGUAAAAUUCAAGUAAAUCAAUUUUGGAAACCCUAAAUUAUAAUCUUCAUUUAUCUCUUUUGCAUAACAUCCAUCUAGUUUUGAGAAAUCUUCACUUUUAAUUUCAAAAUUGUAAUCAAAUAGUUUUAUCCAAUUAAAUAAUAAUAAUAUAUGGCUAUGGUGAUGUCUGUAAUUUCAUAAAAUAAUUACUCUAAUCUAAUCCAUGUCUCUUUCUUUUUUUCUUUUUUUGAACUUGCUAAUCCAUGUCUCUUUCAUUCUGUGUUUAUUAGGCAAUAAAUUCCUUUCGAUUUCAAAUUAGUUAAAGAAAAUUUGUGAUGUUAUACUUAAAUUGAAUCUUUUGUGGCUACUUAACAAUGAAGCGGCUUUGUGUUAGGAUUUUAAUAACGCUGCAAUGCCUGGCUACUCGCGGUUUUAAUUCUUUUAAUUCUUUUGUUGUGCGAAAAGAACAUGAUUAUAUUGUCCAAUGAAUUGUGUAAGUCAAGAUGUUUGCGAUUUGCUAAUGCAUGGAUUGAAUACCAACAAGGAAUCCUUAAACCCCUUCUUCUUCGUUUGAGGUAAUGGAUUAAACUGUGGAGAAUAAUUAAUAAUUAUACCACUUUUUACCAACAAGGAAUCCUUAAACCCUUUCUUCUUUGUUUUCUUAAAGCAUUGAUAGAUAGAAUUAUUUCUAUUCAAUCUCUUUGGUGGUGUAGGAAAAGGAUAUGAUUGUUCAAUAAUGAAUUGCGUAAGUCAAGGUUUUUGUAAUUUGUACGGAUGCGUGGAUUGAAUGAAUAGCGACAAGGUUUUUGUAAUUUUGUAAUUCUCUUCUGUUCCUUAAGCUAUAAAAUUUUAAUUUCUACUUUUGACUAUAUGCCUUUGGUUCUCAUCUCUUGUUAUGUAUGGCUGAGUCGCCGUUCGUUGGAUGGACCGACAUUCAAAACAUGAAAUGACAAGACAAGUAAUGUGAAACGUAUUUGAUUGAGAUCCUCAAUUUAUUUUCCAAACAUGAAUUCAAAGAAUCACCAUUUUUUUCAAUAUCUAAUUUGAAAAUUCGUCACAUCGAAACAAAUCAAGUUGAACUUUCCACAAGAUAAGAUCUCUUUUAAGACCGCAUGUGUGGACCAAUAUACAGGAUUCAACUAAAGAUGAGAUGAUUUUUCAGCUCUCCAUUGGUUAGAGCAACUGCCACCUCUAUCGUUUUCAUCUUAAAUUGAAAUAAAUUUCCACUGAUUAGACUCGUUAUUUUGUGUCUAUCUGCAAUUUGAAUGGGAUAACCAACGAAAGGGGGGAGGAGCAUUUGAUUUUUUCCAUUUACACUCUUUUCUUUUCUUUUUCUUUUUUUUUUUGAAAAAAAAUUGUGGCUCUAAACGAUCAUUUCUACCUUAUUUUUAUUUAUAGUAAAAUUUUUUUAUUUGUUGCAUUUUGUGUUUUAUUUCAACCAUAACCCGAAUUCUAAAAAGAAAUUAAGCUCAAUUUUACAAUUUGAGUCCAAUUAAAAAUCAAGCUCUAUUGACAAUUAAGUUUUACGACCUUGUUUGUUUUCGCGCAAAACUUGUUCACUUUUAUCAUUAAUGAACAACCGCCCUUUUUAUUUGUUUAUAUAUAUACAAUUAAGAAAGCAAAUCCUAUGAUAAAGCUCAUAGGAUUCAUAACUCUCCCCUUCAACUAAAUUUUUGUUUUAUUUUUUGUGCAUAGUUUAACUUAUGAAUAGGUUUACUCUCACAUACGUGAUAGUAUUCUCAAUUUUAUAACCUUAUCAAGGCUUUUAAUGGCCACAUUAACAUUGUUGUUAAAUACAAAUGGACAACAUCAAUUAAGGGAUCUAUUUAGCUAGUUUUGUUAGUUUAGGUGCUCAAUUGGGUGCAAAAAAUUUGGAGGAGUUUAAUUGAUUUUUUGAAAAUGCUCGAGGCAUUAUUUUACCAAUAAGCCAAAAUUUUAACGAUUAACUAAAUUAAUAAAUAACCUAUAAUAUUUAAAAUAUAGUUUAAAAUAUAAUAAAUUAAUAAGAAUAUUCAAGCAAUUAUGAAUUUUUCAAAAUUAUAUAAAAUUCAAAAAUAUUAAUAUUUUAUUUUAUUUAAAAAAUUAAUAUGUGUAUCAAUGUUUUAAUUCUAUUGGUACAAUGUAUAUUAAACAAAAAUUAUUUUUAUAUAAAAUAAAUAAAUAAAAGUAAUUUUAAUUUUAUUAAUUGUAUGUAUAAUUUUUUGUAAUGUAUGAAUAUAUCCAAUUAUUUAAACCUUUUAAGCUUCAAAAUAAUUGAUAGAUCUUUUAGGCCACACAUGUAAUAAAAGAAUUGAUACAUUUUUCUAAUUGGAGAUAUUCAUACAUUACAAAAAACUUUACGCGUUAAUAAAAUUAAAAUAUUUAUAUUUAUAUUUAUUUUUUAUAAAAUAUUUUUUAUCUUUUAUACAUCUAAAAAGGUACCAAUAGAAUUAAAAUAUUAAUAUACAUACCAACUUUUUAAAAAAAAUUAAUUUUUAUAUUUUUAAACUUUAUAUAAUUUUAAAAAAAUCAUCUUGAAUGAAUCCAGAUAUAUGGUUACCUAGAUUAAAUAUAACUAUGGAUAAUCAUAUGUCUAGAUUCAUUCUAGACUCAACUUUUAAAUAAUUUUUUUAUUAAUUUUAAAUUUUUAAGAUUUAUUUAAUAUUUUAAUACAUUUUAAUAAUAAUUAAAAAAAUUAAAAAUAUAUUUUAAUUUUUCUCCCUUUAAAUAAUUUGGUCCCAAUGUCACUUGUCAUUCCAUCACCAUUGUUGUUAAUUACAGCAUCAGCUACUGAUAAAAUUCUAAGGCCCCAAAAAGCGAAUAAUUUAUAAAAAUUUAAAAAUUCUUUUUCCAAUCCUCUCUUUGUUGGUUGUUUUUGAAAUCAAGGUCUUUGUAAUUUACAUGAAAAGAAGUAUUUAUUGCUCUUUAAUAUCUUGCUUGUUUACGUGUCUAUUAAACAAGGUUUUCACGUAAGCGUUGUGGGGUACUUGAAAAUGUUCUCUUUUCCCACUCAAAUUAACUUUGAAUUUAAUAAUUGUAGACAACUAAUUUUGAUUAAAUUGAUUAAAUCUUUUCGUUACUAAAAUGUAAAACCAAGUUAGAGGCUUGCAAGACGUUGAACAAUGUCAAUCAAAACCAUGUUUUCGGGUUAUGAAGUCAAAUGUACAUUUUGUGAUUUGGCCCAUGCAUUCUCCACUUUAGUUUAAAGUUACUGUUAUCUUUCUCAUUCUUUUAUUUUUAUCUUAAUUUCCUUCCAUCAUUCUUUUCGGAUUUGCUUUUGGAUGUUGGAAACUUGGAGUACUUGGGCCUUACCAGCCCUCGGUUUCGGUCUUAUAGGAAAUUACAUGAGAUAUGAACAUUGUGAGAUUAAUGUGUUGACACCAUUUUUUGGAUGAAAAACGGGGUCGACUUGGGUUUUGAAAAAUGAAACGGGAGUCGCCACCAAUCCUUUUUUUAUGAGGUGUGAUUGGAUCACCUCGAAAAGUAGUUGUUUUUAAUAAACGGUUUGAUUUUAUUAAAACAACUAGUUUGGUCUACGAAAUUCAGAAAAACGGGUUCGGGAGUCGGUUACGCACGAGGAAUGAUUAGCACCCUCGAUACGCCCAAAAUUGGUACCUAGUUGAUUACUUAAUGUCUUAAUGUUGAAAAUUGAUAACUUUGAAGAAUUUUAAAAAUACGAUCCUUGUAUUAAAAUGUUGAAAAUUUUUGGAAAAAGAAGCAUAUUUCACGUUAAUCGAGAAAAGACAUCAUAUCCAGUAAGUUAGGAUACAACGUCUCGAAUUCUCGAUACUCGAGUGAAUGCUAAAAUGUUACCCCUUUUUAAAAUAUAUUUUAUUAUCUCGGGUUUAGAAAAUAAAUCUUGCCCAGUAAGUUAGGGCACGAUCUUUUCUUAACUUCCGAGAUCAUUUUAAAAAACUUCGAGUUUGAAAAGAUUCGUGUAUUUAAAUUUAUUGAGAAAGUCAAAACCCAGUAAGUUAGGGCACUGUUUUCUCGAAUCCAAACACGAAAUGUCAUUUUAAAAAUUAAAUUUUGUUACAUCGAAUAAAAUAAAACACGAAAUCAUAAUGAAAGCAAAUUACAUUUUUUAUGCAUGGCAAAAUCAUAAUGAAUAUGAAAGUAUAGAAUGAUACGAUCAAUAGCAAUCAAUAUAAACGGUCAAACUUACAACAUAUAAAAUAACAAAAUAUAAAAACGAAUAAAAUUAAAUCAUUCAUUCAAAAUAAAUAAUGAAAAUGAAAUAAAUAAAGAGUAAAUACAAUAAAAAAAAGAGAUAUAUAUGUGUAUAUAGGUAUAUAGAUAGUUUUAAGCUAUAAAGGAUAAAAAUAUGUGCAUAUAUGAGUCAUAAAAUAUAUAAAGAACAUAUAUAGAACACGUAUUUAAAAAUAUGAAGAAUAUGUAAGUGUAUGUAUAUAUAUUAUGAAAACAAGAUAUGUAUAUAGAUAUAUAGAUAUGUAUAUAAAUUAAAAUAUAAAGGUAUAAUUAUCUAUUUAUUAAAAUAAAAAUACAUACAUAGAUAUGUAUAAUAAUAUGAAAAUACAUAUGUAGGUAUAAGUAAAAUAUAUAUGUAAAAAAAAAAGGGAAAUAUAAUAUAUAUAUAUAUAAAUAUACAUGUUUAUAUAAUAUAUAUAUAUAUAAAAUAUACAUGUUUUAAUAUAUAUAAAAAUAAUAUAUAUAUGUAUAUAUGAAUAGGUAUAUAAAUAUUCGUGAAAGAAAAAGUAUAAGAGAAAUAACAGUAAUAUUAAUACUAACAAUAAUAGUAAUAAUAAUAACCAUAAUAAUAAUAAUAGUAAACUAAUAAUAAUAAUAAUAAUAAUAAUAACUAAAUAAUAAAAUUGCGAAAAUGUGGACUGAAUCGAAAUAAAAACGAGGUUAUUGGGCAAAAUCGAAAUAAGAAAAGGCAAAAAGGACCAAAUCAUGUAGCGCACUGAAAGAGGGGGACCAAAAUUGUAAAUAAACCAAGCAUUAAAACGCAGCGUUGAAAUGGAUCGUAAUGUAACAAAAAUAAAAUGACGGGGCUAAAUUAAAAAAUAACAGAAAAUAAUGAAAAGGGGCCGAAUUGAAGUACGCUGCAGAGUCAAGCGACUGCGCGCGCAAAUAUACCCUUUAAAGAAAACACGCGGAUCCUCCCCCUGGGUCGGGUCACGGCGCGGGUCAGAGACCAAAACGACGCCGUUUUGUUCUCUGAACCCUAAAUUCAAAAACGACGUCGUUUUACAGGGUAUUUAAACCCAAAUUUUCUGAAAAAAAUCACUUCAGCCACCGAAGAAAGAAAAAAAAAUUGAAAUAAAAAAAAACUCCCUCUUCCUCUCAAAAGUCCGGCCUUUGGGUCAUAUUAGCGCCGCCGUUGCGUCACGCCGGCCACCGUACAUGGUGGCCGAAAAAAUCAAAAAGGUAAUUUUUUUACUUCAAUAUGUUGUAUAUAUAUAUACACGUAUAUAGUUUAGAAAUAAAACAAAAAAAUAAAGAAAAAUCGAAUAAAAACAGUCCAAUAAACCGAAAAGAAAAUAAAAAUAAAAAUAAAGAGGACCUUUAGUAUUUUGUUUUUGAUCUACACUUUUUGUUGAUUUGCUGGAAUCCUUUUUUAGUUGAAAGAAAAAACAUCCCUUGUUACAAUGUUUACAAUCGGUUUUAUUUUACCGAAACAAAAACCAAAUACCCCCCCCCCCCCCGUUUACCAAUUACAAGCCUUUCUUGGUUUUUAUACAUGAUUUUUUCGAUUUUCUUGUUUCUGUUCUGCUGUUUGCGUGUGCUUCUUUCUCUUGCAGGUGGAGCAGGUGGCACAGGCGGCGACGUGACCGCGACGGUGGGCAGGUGCGAGGCAGAGCAAGUGGGCGACCCUAGGUGCGGCGCACCUAGGGUUAGGGUUACCCCUUUUUUGUUAUUUUCUGAUUUGGGCUGAUUGAGUCUAUUGGGCUGUUUUGGGCUAGGUGAUUUUUGUUGGGCUUGGGUAAAUUUAGGUUGUAAUUGGGUUUUGCUGGUGUGGGCAAAAUUGGGCUGGUACAUAAUGUAUGUUUUUUUUUAUUUACAAAAUAUUAUUGUAUGUUAUUGUAAUAUUUGAGGAAUUUUUUUUUAGAAUUGUAUCGAUAACCACCAAAGUUAUUGUGAGAAAGAUCAAUAACACUCAAAUGAGUGAAGAAAACUUCAAAGAUAUCCACUUGACCAUAAAAUCUAUUCCAUACUUCUAGUUUAUCCAAAUUUCUUAAUCAAUUUGAGAAACUGCCAUUUAAAUAGUUUUCCUCAACAUCAAGAAGGUUCAAAUCUUUGCAAUUAUUAUUUGAAUAGUUAAUCCAAAUGCUUCUACUUUGUUGUUGUUGAUCCAAAAAGUUUGCAAUGUGCAACCUUUAACAAAAUUUGAUGGUAUGUUAGCAUCAAAAUUAUUUUUUCGUAUAUCAAUGUGUAAAAGAGAACAACUUAGGUUUCCAAUGCACUGCAGAAUCACUCCUUUCAAAUUAUUCCUACAUAACUGAAGACUUAAAAAGAGAACUCAAUUUGUAUAUUAAUGAAGGAAUUUCUCCCUGAAAGAUUAUACCAAUGCAAUGAAAGUGGUGGAAUUGGAAUUCACCUUAAAAGAAAAUUUGGAAUAGAGUUAGAGUUAAGAGAUUGAAACCAAAAAAUAAUAAUAACUUAUAUUUGUAACGUAACACAUGCAUGAUGUGCAUAUCCAAUAAAAUUGAUUGGUUAAUUUACUCCACAGAAACUUCUAGCCAUUUUUCAAUGCAUAGAGAAUACCAAUCCAUCGGAAUUACUACCUUUCAUAUGUGUACUUUUUAUUUCUAUUACUCAUGUGUUAUGAGAAACACAAAAGUAAAAAAAAAAUUACUAAUAUUUUCUUACUAACCCAAAAGCUUUUAAUUAAUACAAUGAAAUACAAAGUUACAGUUUAAAGGAUAAAGCCCAUACCUAAUAUUAACCCUUAUUAAGAACCUCCCCAUCCUAUUUAAAGUCAACACUAAUAUUUGGACUAUUGGACGUUAAGAGUGUAUAUUACCUCAUACUUAUANNNNNNNNNNNNNNNNNNNNNNNNNNNNNNNNNNNNNNNNNNNNNNNNNNNNNNNNNNNNNNNNNNNNNNNNNNNNNNNNNNNNNNNNNNNNNNNNNNNNNNNNNNNNNNNNNNNNNNNAAAAAAAAAAACUAAUUAGUUUGUUUUUUUUUUGCAUUUAAAAAGGCUUUUUAACAUUUAGUGUCACAAUCGCAUGUAGUAGAAAAAAAAUUUAUUAAAUUUUAAUUAAAAAACUUUGCAAUGUUGAACCUUUAGCAUAAACAACAAAUUUACAUUGGCGACCUCUAUACAAAUAGCUACAGCACUUACCAGACAGAAACAAAUCGAAUUACAACUUUCCCAGAAAUCUCUAAAAUUUCCAAAUUUCAAAAGCCAUAAAAUAAUAUAUAAAACUACAGUUUCACCUUAAUCAAUAUAUUUCCAGAUUGUGAGUCAAAGUCGGGCUUUAGAUCGCUUCAAUAUUUCAAGUUUCAAUCAUUUUGAGGUCGACUCAGUUGAAUUUAAUAGUCAAGUUAGGAUCCUUGAAUAUUUAUAAUUCAAUUAUUGAAUUUUGAUUUACUUGUACCAAUAUUUCUUACAAUUUCUAACUCAAAUUUAGUUUAUGUAUUAAUAACAUUAGAAAAGAAUUUAUUUAACACAUAUGUUCUAAAAUAGUUAGAUAUAAAUUAAAAAAAUGUACAAAUUUAAACAUACAAUUAGAAAAAUAAGUAAAAUUAUUAUAAAAUAUAAUAUCUCUUCAAAAUAAGUGAAAAGUUUUUCUUUUCUUUACCACAAACAAGUCACGUGAGUGGCUAAAAAUUACUAAUUGUGAUUAGUUCGUAGAUAACAAAUUACUAAAACAUGUGGAAAAAUAAUAUUUCAACCAAACGUAGUGUCAACCUAUAAUUAUUUUUUCUAAUCCAAAAGGAUUAUUUUAAAAACUAAAAGAUUGUAAAGCUACUUAAUAAUGAGAAGGAUCUAUUUACGUUGGGCGUGUCCUUGGUCGUGUGAGUCCUGAGACUAAAAUUUUCCAAAUUUAACUUUUUCAUAUUUGUUUUUCUUUUCUUCUUCCUGUUUCCACUUUCGUUCUUUUAGUUUUUGCUACAGAUGUCUUUUUUGCCACUUUUUUCUUUUCGUUAUUCAAUUUUCCUUCCUCUUUUGUUUUCAUAUUUUGCACGUUGCCGGACUUGCGCCUGUUGUUUCUUGUUCUUCUUCCUUUGCUGUGUUUUUUUCUGUUCUGCUAUUGGUUGUUGGGGACGACCGUUUCUUUGGAUUUUGUUGAGGGCAAUGUGUGGUAAGGGAAAUGGAUUUUGUAAUUUUAUCUUCUUUCUCUUGUGGUAUAAGUGUCAUCCGUUCGAUUCUUAAGAUAUUGUCUUUUCAGUUUGGCUUAGUUUUGGAUAUCUGAUCAUUUCCGUAGUAUGACUCUAUUUUGAUGAGGAUCGGGUAAUACGUACUCCUUUGGCGAUUUGAAGUGUUUCAGGAACUGAUUUAGCAAGGGAAAGCAAUUGAAUGUCAAUUUGGGGGUUUCUUUUGGUUGUUAGGGUAGAAUGCCCUACUAUUUUUAGCUAGAAUAUUAGGAAGCAAGGUUUGUUUUCUUUUUAAUUGUGCUCAUUUUAGUCACUAAUCUGUAUGUUGGGUGUUGUUUAGGUAUUGGAUUUGCUACUGUUGCGUUGGUGUCGAAAAAUGACUAGGUGUAUAACGAGAACCUUGUAAAAUAGUGAACGACACGAAGCUAAAAAAUGCACUGUCAAUGCCACACGGCCUUGUGGGUCACAUAGCCGUGUGGUAUGCCGUGUGAAUCACACGGUUGUGUGGCAACCCGUGUGGGUCACACGACCGUGUGACAGAUCAUGUGAUACGAGUAACUCAGCCCAAUUCAAAGGCCAUAAUAGAGAUGACCUUAGUUUCCCUCAAGGCCCAAUUACGAGAUCCAAAACCAAACAAAUAAAGUCAAAACUCAACUUAGUUGUUCAAGACUUUAUCAUGAAAAAAAAUUGAGAAGAAGAGUUGAAGUUUCAAGAUGAUGAAUUCUGGAGUAAUGAUGAAUUAGAAGAGACUAAUUAUGUUCGUGGGCCUAAACUCUCAAUCUAUGAUGACAAGCUCAUGUGGAAAAUGCUAACAAGCUUAGGCAUUUCACUUUAAGAAUCCCAAUUGAUCUUACAAGCCUACACGUUUCAUAUUAGGCUUAAUUUUUAUUAUAUAUAAGCCCAAUAUUUUAUUUAUCAGCUCUUAUUAUUUUAUUAUUAUUUUAUUCAGAAUUUUUGAUUAUUAUUAAGUAUUUUAAGUUAUUUAGGAGUUUUAUAUUAAUAAGAAAGUUUAGUUUAAAACUACCUCUUGUUUAGAUUAAAUUAGAGUUCUCGUAUACUUAGGAUUUUUAUUUAGAUUUAUAUUGCUAGCCUAUAUAUAUAGGCCUUUGUAUUGUACACAAUACAUUCAAUUCAUUAUUAUUCUAUUUCUCUUUUGAGUUAAUAAAUUCUCUCUAGGUUUUUCUUUUUUCAAGAAUUUCUCUUGAGUUUCUUUUAGAAUAGUUUUAACAAUAUUUUUAGAUUGUGGGGAUCAUCUUCAAACUUUUUCUUGUCAAGGUUUCUAUCUUAAAGGGGAAAUUAGAGCCGCUUAAAGGGGGUUGUAGAUUCUUCGUGUUUUCAAGGCUUCUUAGGAAUUCUACACACCAUGUUCUAUAUUUCCGUUUAUCUUCUUUAUUCGCUUCCUUAAUAUUUGAUUUAUUAUUUGAUUUUAGUUAUUUAUUUUAAUUGUUUCAUCUGAGUUUGAUUCAAUUUCGUUUCAAGUUGUAUCAAAUUCCAAGUUUCUUUUCAAACGUCUAGAGCCAUAAGUCAAAUUCGUAACUUUGACAAACUUUACGAUCCGCUUUCGCCUUCAUCCUUCUCAUCCUUUAUCACCAUGUAGGUCACACAGCCAUGUGAUAGGUAGUGUGUGGGUCAUACGGGCGUGUGGACCCAUUUUGGGUAGAUUGUUGGGCUAGAUAUGAGAUUUUUAAAUCGAAUUUGUAAUUACUCUAUAUGCAUGUAAGACCACUAAAUCCAUAAAAUUUAAGUGUUUGUAUGUUAGUGGCAUUAAUUACUAAACUCUAUUUAGGCUACGUGAUAUUAUUUGUAUUUAUACCUACAUUUGUAUCUGUAUGUGUAUUUUCUAACAGCAUGUCUGUGAUAAAUUUUACAUCUAAUCUGCAAUAUGAGAAAUUUUGUUAGCAUGUUAUGAUUUGUAAAAGCAUGAUUUUUCUGUAUGCGUAUAAGUAUAUAUUUUGUUUUUCUUUUCUUCUUUCUGUUUCCGCUUUCGUUUUUUUAGUUUUUGCUAUAGUAGUCCUUUUUGCCAUUUUUUUCUUUUCGUUAUUCAAUUUUCCUUCCUCUUUUAUUUCCAUAUUUUGCACGUUGUAGGACUUGCGCCUGUUGUUUCCCGUAGCUUAUUAUUUACAGUUUUUCUUGCAAUCCAAGUGCAAGUGUUAUGGGGCUAGAUCUUUCGUUUUACGAUCCGUGCGGCCUUAGGCGAUCCGUUGGUCCAAAAUCGCCUAAGUCAGCCUUUACUCAAGUGAGAAUUCCUUAAGAACUCCUCUCAAGGCACCAAGUUGAAAAGCGGAAGCGAUUUAUUCCAAAAGAAGAACAACAAAAAGAACAACAGAUAGAGUGCACACAAAGUGUUUGAGUAAAUGUUCUUAGAAUUCUAUUACUCUUAAAAAUUCAACAUACAAUGGAAUGAGUACAAAUGAGGGGGAGGCUCUCUAUUUAUAGUUGAGCUCCCCCAAAACCGACAGUCAAGAUACAUUUACAUCGACAGAUGAGAUUAACCAUAUUCCUUUAUUUUAGGGAUUUACAAUAUAUACUAUAUCAAAUCUAAUCUAAUUUUUAUAAGAUAUGAUUCCCUCAAUCUUCUAAGAUUAGUUACCAAAAUAGCCUAAGUUGUCAUAUCUCCAUUAUCGGGCCAACCAGACUUCAAUCUGACAGGCUUCUCCAAUAGCUCUUUGAAUCGGGCUAAUUCUCGUGGGCUAAAUGAUCCCCAUCUUAUCGAUAGACCUCUAUGGGGUGCAUCUUAUACCAUGGUGACGGGCUUUGCACUUAGACCCAUGACAUUCUCCCCCAUCUAUUCUCGCAACACCCUUGUUGCGACUUCCGAAUGGCACUAACUUGAUUCACCUUUGAACCCUCUUGUUGUCUUGACUUCUUCUCGACUUGCCUUGCGAUCGGGUUAUCCCUUCCUUCGAAACCUUUUCCUUAGCUUCCGUCACCUCUUAACUUGAACCAUUGCACUUGUUGGUAUAUCUUGUUGGCAAGAAGUCUCCGCUCUAACUUGCCCUAAUUUUGACUUGUUUCUGCUUGAAUCGCCUUGAUUCUCACAUCUUGGCUUCAUAUUGUCCACAGUCUCUUGGCCUCCUUGCUUAUGAACUUUGAAAGGGCCCCUACAACCUUGCCAAGCCAACAAGUUAGAAUUCAAAACACUAACAAAGUGUUCGCAAUGUACCUUACUUGCAGCAUUUACUCAUUUCGACUAUUUUUGCAUCGUUCCUUUUUCCUUGAAGCCUGAUGCACAACCCACAUUUCCCAAAGAUGUCGGCUCCAUAGUUGAAUCUACAGGCUUCAUAUUGAACUCUUACGCCACAAACACUUCCCAAGGAGCUUUCGUAACUUUUCAUUCUACUGAGUCAAUAUUCCUCCCAUACAAAACAUCCUCGACUAGUUGGAUUGACGACAACACCUUUGUCCCCACCUUCAUAUCUCAAUGCACUGGCACAACAAUUUUUGUUAACGGAUCGGUGAUAAUAUGAAUUUCAUCAACCCAUGGAAAUAGAACCGUCUGAAUCCUGUCAAGGAAGUUCAAGCCAAAUACAUAAUCGUAAUCAUCUAAUUGGAUUACUUUAAAGUCUUCCUUGCCCUUCCAUUCGUCAAUUUGUAGCUCCACAUUAUGAACUACUCCCACAGUUGGGGCCUCCUCAGAAUUUACUAUCUUGAUCUUCUUGUUCAAUUUCUUAAUCGAUAGACCAAGCUUCCUUGUAACCUUUUUUGAUAUGAACAAGUCUGAUGCUCCUGUAUCAAUAAGAGCACUCUGCUUCUGACCCGCAAUGUUAAUCUUUACAAAUAUCAACCCUUCUUUACCAUUCCUUUUCUUAGGAAUGAGCACCAUCGAAUUGACCCUCAAUAGGCUUUGCCUCUUCCAGCUCAUCAUUCCUCUUGAUAGCCAAAACUGAAGAUACCUUUGGGCAGUCCCUCUUUAUGUGUGGUCCCUUACAAAAGUAGUUGCGUAACUUUCCAUUCUUUUUUUUCGGGCUAUUAGGUCUCCACUUCCCAUUUUGUGGUUUCCUAUCAUCACCAUCGCUGCUACUACCGUUUCCAUCAUAGCUAUGUCCCUCUUUAUCUUCCUAAUGGUACCUACCAUUGCCCCUCCUAUUGGGCUUGAAAGAUUCAAACCUGUCCCUUAUCGGAACAAGUUCCACUAUAAAAUCCGCUACCAUCAUGGCAUUGGUAAGUUCUUAAACUCCUCGACGUUGCAAUUCUUGUUUCACCCAUGGUUUCAACCCAUCCGUAAAGGAGAAAAAUGCGUCUUUCUCACUCAAAUCAGAGGUCUAGAGCAUGAGUUCACUAAACUCCCGCACAUACUCCCUAACCGUGUGUCGUUAUGUAAGCCACCGCAACUUUGCUUGAGCUUCAUCCUCGACAUACUUGGGGUAAAACUGUGCUUUAAAUUCCUUUUGGAACUCCUUCCAAGUCCCAAUCUCAGUCCAACCACGUCUCACAUCAGUGGACCUACGUCGCCACCACAACAAAGCAACGUCAGUAAAAUACAUAGCAACAGUAUUUACCUUUGUGACAUCAUCCUCGAUGUUCAUCGCAUGAAAGUAUUGGCCCAAUGAAAGUUGUCCACUUCACUUGCGGACCUUACCCCUUCAAACGCUUUCGGCUUGGGCACAUCCAUUGCUUGUGGCUUCGGCUUUAAGGUCAACAUUCCAUUUGUUAUGACAGCCUUAAAAAUAUUAAGCUCCCCUUUAAGCUCAUUGAUCUCCUCCUUCAAAGCUGUCACCAUAGCCUCGAAAGCAUCGUCCUUCUCAACUAGCUUAUUCUCUGAAGAACCGAUAGUAUCCCACACAAAUUCCCUGAGCUGCUCUUACAUCGUCGAUCCUCUCCUUUAUAUCCCCCAUGGACUCCUCGAGAGUGACGACUCGAUCCUCUAAAGCUGACAAUAAGUCCCUCGAUCGACUCACUUUUUUGGCCUUUCCUCGGGUCUCCAUUGGCUCACUCUGACCAACAACUUCUUUUGACAUCCCAACAGUGCCUUUGAACCAAAAGCUCUGACACAAACUAUCACAAGGCAAGAUGUAAUAUCUGGAAAAUUACUACAGUAAGAAAGUAGGUAUCCUUGAUAUAGUAAAAUAAGGAAAUAAAGUGCCAAAAAGGGAAAUUUUAAGUUAUGGCAACAUUGGGGAGUAUAUUAUGAUAUAUUAAUUCAAGAAAGAAUUAAAUCGCAAAAGUGAGAAAAGUUUUGUUGAUCAAGAGUAAAUACUCAAAAUUUGAGAGGGUAAAGUGUAAAUAUGAAAGGUUGAAGGACCAAUAAUGCAAAAAUUUUAAGGGUUGAAUAAUCCAGAAACUAAGGAAAAUGGAUGAAUUAGGACAAAAUUGAAAAGGUGAAGAAUUUUGAGGGACUUAAUCAUAAUUUUACCAAAUUAAGUGAUGAAUCAAGGAUGGAAAUUUUAAAGAUUAUAUAGGGAAAAAUGGUCAAUUAGAAGAGAGAAAUCUAGAAGAUAAUGAUGAUGUUGGAGAUAUUUUAGAUUAAAUAAAUAAAUAAAUAUUAGUUUAUAAUAUUUUGAUUUGAUUUUUUUAAUGAUAUGUUAUUAUUUUAUUUAUUAUAUAUAUAUAUGUGGAAAGAAAGAUGAAAAGCCACCAUCCCACUAUUUUUCCCAUGCAUCAACGUGAGAAGAAGAGAAAAAGAAAGAAAGUUUUGCUUUUUUUACAAUUUGGUCCUUUAACCAAAUACUCACCAUUCUCACUUAAAAAUCAAAAGAAUUUCAUAGCCACCAAGAGAGAAAUUUGAUAAGGAGACUAUGGGGAGAAAAAAAUAUCAAGUUAGAUUCAAGAAAUAGAAGCUAGAGGAGAGAGAAAACUCAAGUUAAAGAUUGAAAUCAAUAGGACAAGGUAAGAUCAUCAAAAUUUCAAUAUAUUUUUAAGAUUGAUAUUAUUGAAAAAGCAUGGAAAUGAUGUUAUAGUAGAGUUUUCUUAUAUAAUGUCUUAUGUUUCUAAUAUAUUAGUGAAGGGAAAUAAGUAAAAGUGAUGGGAAAUAUUAUAAAGAAAGGGAAUAAGGGAGUUAAAAACUUAGUAAUCAACAUCUUACACUAAAACAAUUUUGGACAGCAGCAGUAGGUUAACUUUGAAAAAUCACCAUAAAUCAUGGAAAUUGAAUUAGAGGAUGAAAAAAAUAUGGAAUUCAAUCUUAUUGAGUCUAGCUUCUCAUAGAAGAAACAAUGUAAGCAAUGGAAUUGUAAAUCAUGAGAUAUAAUAAAUUUUGUGAGACAAGGUCAGAACGAUUUUGAGUUGCACUGUUCUAACUUUGGAAAAUCAUAAAAAAAAUUGGAGAAAAAUAAUUAGGGGCUUAAAUUUUUUUUUAAAAUCCUUAAUGAGUCUAUUUUUAAUAGAAACAAACGGUAACAUCAUCCAAAUCCUGUACUAGGAGAUAAUUAAUUUUUAGUGAAGAAGGUUCGAAACUAUCAAAUAGCAGAACAGGGAUGAUUUUAAAGAAUAAACUGUACUUAUUGGGUUAACCAUAAAUUCUAAAAAUUUUAUGGUAAGAAGACAUGUGAGUCUAGUUUCAUAUAAAUUUAUCAGAUUUUAAUUCAGAGUUCCGUAGCUCAAGAUAUAAAUAAUUUAGUGACUAUGACUAAAGUGGAUAACUUUGAAUGAACAUAUAAAUAAAUAGUGAAAUUAUAGAUAAUGUUACAUAUAAGCAUGUUAUAUACAUUAAGGAUAUGGAAUGGAGAGGAGGAGGAAAAUAUAUGAUUAUUCAACUAGCUUGAGUUUUCAUUAAAAAUGGCUAAUUUGCAUGUUUUAGGUUCAAGGACUAAAUUGAAUAAAAGUAAAAUUUUAAGGGUAAUUUUGUAAAAAGAUAAAAAAGUGACAAAAUUGCAUGAAAUGAAUUGUUUUAUUAUUUAAAUUAAUAAAUUGAAUGAAAUAUUAAUUUAGAUCAAGAUUCGAUGGAAAUUCGAGGAAAAUAGAAAAUUACUAAAAUGUCCCUAAAUUUUGGUAUUUUCUGCAAUUUAGCCUGGUAAGUUCGUAUGAACUAUAUUCUAUAUAAUUUUAAUUAAAGUGAAUGUUAUUUGGUGAUGAAUAUUAUAUAAAUAUGUCUUUUAUUAUUGGAAUUGAAUUAUUAUUGGUAAUAUGUAUAAUUAUUAGAUGCAUUAAAAUGAUUAUCGGAAGCUCGAUUGGGUUGGAAACUUGUCGGAGAUAUAUCACACUAUCCAUUGGUUCUAUCGGUAAUUUUGGAUGAUUUGAUUCUGGUUAUAAUGGCAUGUAUAAGUUAAAUUGGCCAACAUUAGUGCAUUAAUGUUUUGAUUUUGAUUGGUUAUUAAUAUGAAUGCUUGAAGAAAUGAAAUGUCUGUAAAUUAAUUUGUAAACUCCGGUAAUACUCUAUAACCCUAUUCUGGAAAAGGAUACUAGUUAUGGGUGUUACAUUUAUUAGUGUCAGAGCUACAGUUUAGUUGGUUCUUGGGCCGAACGUAGCAUAUGUGAAGUUUGGAAAUACAUGCCAUUUUAUAACCUGUGAUAGUAUGAUAUCUCUCGACUCUGGUGAGAUUUUUUUUACUCAUAGACAAAAAUACUUUCCCAACUAAGUUAAUUCCAAUAAUGUUGAAAGCGAUACUCAAGUAUAUGAGAAAAAAAUUGAUUAUGAUGAAUCGAAACUCAUAAAGGUAUGAAUAAAUGUUUUAUAAUACAUGUUAAUGAUGAAUAUUAUGUUAUAUGUACUAAUAAAAGUAAAUUUUAGUGCUACACGAACUAUUGUGCUAAUAAAAAAAUUAUAAAAUAUACAAAAGUAAUAUAUGAAGUAUAUGAUAAGGAUUAUUAGGGAAUUGUGGAUGAAUAGUGAAUUUGAAAAAUAUUACAUGUGUUAAAGAUAGAGAAGAUAUAAAUGCAUGAAUUAUUGGUACAAGAAUUAAAUUGUAAAGCAUGUAAAAACAUUAUGCGAAAAGUGUAAAAGUGAUAUGCAUGCAUGAAAUAAUUUGCCCAAGUAGAUGAGAUUAGAACUAUUAGGAUAUUAAGGGAGUUUAGCGUGCUUUUUGAUUAUUAGCACAUCAGUGCUCUCUGAUUAUUAGCACGUCAGUGCUAUCUGAUUAUUACCGCAUCAGUGCUAUCUGAUUAUUAGCGCAUCAGUGCUCUCUGAUUACUAGCACGCUCUUUGAUUAUUAGCACAGUAGUGCUCUCUAUUUAGCACAUUUGUGCUCUCUGUAUAGCACUUUUGUGCUCUCUGUUUAAUAGUGCAUAAUAAUACACCUCUGUAUCAGUCCCGUAUAUCCUAAGUGUUUUGUUUCAUCUACUGGGCCUCUACUAAAAAGGAAAACAAUUUUCGUUACAAGAUAAAAGAUUAUCUUUGAUUCAUGUUUGAAAUAUUGAAUUAAAAAAAAGUAUAGGUGGAUAGUAACAAGAGAACGUACUAUUCAGGAAAUAAGAAGAGAUGAAGUGAUGUUAAUGUUUGAUGAUAGAAAAAGGUUUACAAGGAAAAGAGAUAGUAAAAAAGAAGGAGAUUCAGAAAACAUUUUAAGAUCCAAUGAUGAAUGAUUAUAAAGGAAAAUAAGUUACAAAGUUGUGAAUAGAUAAGCAUGUAUUUGUAAUAAAAUAAUUUAAAGUUGUAAAUAAGUAAAUGUUAUUUAGUUUUGUAUGGAGGUUUAAAAAAGUAAUCCUUAUAGAUAAGAAUGAAAAGAUACAUUAAGAAUAAAAUGAGUGCUCUUUAGGAAUCUAAAGUUAUGAAAUAAUAAUAAAAUUUAUGAUACGAGUGAGAAGUAAAGAAAUUUGUGGGCUACUAACUAAUUUAAUAUAAAGAUUUGAAAGAUAAAUGGAAAUUUCAGAAUCAAAAUUUGAGGGUAAUUAAUUGAAAAGUUAAAUCAAACGAAAUGAAUUAGUUGAGUCAUUGAGAAGAAACGUGAUUGUGGAAUAUAAUUUGAAAAUGUGAAUUAAAUAUGAAAAUGUGAAUAGAAAGCAUGAACUAAAUGUUCAUGAGACAAAUAAUGGCUCAAUGUGAUAGUAUAUGAUAUUAAUUAAUGAAUGAAUUAUUAUUGAAAAUAUAUUAUGGAAUUUAAUACUUAGUCUGGAUUGAACGCGAGAUUGAGUACAAUCGUUCUGCGGCAAAGAAUGAAUUGACGGAUAAGACCAUAACUGGGUUAUGGCACCUUGGACAUAAGACCAUGGCUGGACCAUGGCAGUAUAGAUACAUAUGUAAGACCAUAGUUGGACUAUGGCACAAAAAGAGUGACGUACUCAUAUCCGUAAGCCGUUCUUCGAUUCAAUAAGAAAUGGUAAGAGAUUUAUGUGAUUGAAUUGAAAGAUUAUACAUUAUUAUUGAUAUUGAUCUGAAGGAAGUGUAUUUAUUGAUUAUAUUAUAUUUGAAAAGGAAAUUAUGUAUGUUGAGAUGAGUAAUAAACUUAAGUGUGACAUAUUGAAAAAAUAAGUUUAUCAAAGUUGAAUUUAUAUGCAAUAUGUGCAAGUAAGCUAACCAGUGAUGUUGCUCGAUGCUUAAGCAAGUGCCAAACUGUGGGUUGAAUGGUAAUAUGAUUAUUUAUAUGAUACAUUGAAUUGAUAAGUAUUUAAGUGAAAAUAUGCUACUGCUUAUGAAAAAGUGGUAAGGUUUAAAUUACGCAAUUUCUUAUGGAAUGAUUUAUCAUGUGAUCAAUUCGGAAAAGGUUUUGGUUAAAUGCACUAGCUUGUAACCAUGGUUGAAGGAUAUGUUUAUGACUUGUGUGUCAUGCAUAUGGAAUAAGCGUGGAAAGUAAAUAAAUGCAAAUGAAAAUAAAGAAAAUUCGAAAGAGUAUAAAGUUGUUUAAAAUCUUAUAUUGCUAAGGAUAAAAUGUACAAGUGAUGAUGUGGAUUUAUUUACCUCGUGAGUUGAUAAAUAUAGCCACAUGAGCAUUGGGGUAUCAAUAUUAAAUUAUUCUUGAUAUUUAUAAAUUUCAUAUUUGAAAUGAAUGGAUAUGAUUAAAGUGUGAUUAUGUAUAGAUAUUUAAUAAUAUAUUAAUUGAAAAGUGGAAAUUUGUGUUGAAUUGAAUUGUGAUUAAAAAAUUGAGAAUGAUUUGAAAUAUAAAAAAAUUGAAUACCCUAUUAACUAGACGGGUUGAGUUGGAUAUAGAUGGCAUGCCAUAGGAUCAAAAGAAUUUGGGGAUUUUUCGGCUUGGCCGAGAAGACACUGAAGUCAUCAUAUUUCUUUAGACUAUUCGAAGAAAAAACUGAGUGUCGUUUUGGUGUGUUUGGUUAGAAUCCGUGUAUCCGCCAAGGUUCGAGUCUUGUUAAUAGGGGUAAGCAAAUGAAAUUAUAAAAUUAAAUGAAGAAAGGACUUCUGGUUAAGUGGAAAGAGAAGAAAAAAGAGCUUAAUUAAGUAAAAAGUAGAAUAUUCUUGAAAAGGAAGUACAAAAUGAUAUAAAAACUAGAAAUGUUAGUGAUAAGAAUGGAUAGAAAAGGAUAAUUGAAAGAAUAUGGAAAUGAUAAAGUUCAUGAUCAAAACAAAAUAAGGAAAUUUCGAGGAUAAAAUUUAUUUUAGGGGGGAGAGAAAUGUAAUAUCUCGAAAAUCACUACAGUAAGAAAGUAGGUAUCCUUGAUAUAGUAAAAUAAGAAAAUAAAGUACCAAAAAGGGAAAUUUUGAGUUAUAGCAACAUUGGGAAGUAUAUUAUGAUAUAUUAAUUUAAGAAAAGAUAAAACCGCAAAAGUGAGAAAAGUUUUGUUGAUCAAGAGUAAAUACUCAAAAUUUGAGGGGGUAAACUGUAAAUAUGAAAAAGUUAAAGGACCAACAGUGAAAAUAUUUUAAGGGUUGAAUAAUCUAGAAACUAAGGAAAAUGGAUGAAUUAAGGCCAAAUUGAAAAGGUGAAGAAUUUUGAGGGACUAAAUCACAAUUUUACCAAAUAAGUGAUGACUCAAGGAUGGAAUUUUUAAAGAUUAUAAAGGGCAAAAUGAUCAAUUAGAAGAGAGAGAAAUCUAGAAGAUAAUGAUGAUGUUUGAGAUAUUUUAAAUUAAUCAAAUAAAUAUUAAUUUAUAAUAUUUUGAUUUAUUUUUUUAAUGAUAUUUUAUUAUUUUAUUUAGUAUAUAUAUAUGGAAAGAAAGAUGAAAAGCCACCAUCCCACCAUUUUUCUCAUGCAUCAACGUGAGAAGAAGAGAAAAAAAGAAAGUUUUGCUUUCUUUACAAUUUGGUCCUUUCACCAAAUACUCACUGUACAACCCAAAUUUUUCCCGGGCCCAACAAGCAGAGACCAAAAUACCCAAGCCCAAAUUAAACCCAAACAGCCCAACUACCCAAAACCUAAUGGCCCAAAUUUCAUUGAAGGCCCAAGUAGCCCAAAAUGUUUAAAAAAUUUCAGAAAAAAUGAAACCUAAGGCCUUCAAGCCUCAAGCGCCAUUCUGCCAGCCUCCCUCGCGCAUGCGCACGCCAUCCCUCGCGCAUGCGCACGCCAUCACCGCCGCUCGCCUAUCACCGGCCAUCCAUGCGUCUAACACCACCUGUAACACGCAAAAGAGGAAAAUGACAAACAGACAAUCUAAAUCGCAAACAACAAAAAAAUAGAAGUUUAGCAGUUUUAAAGAUUGGCUAUAUAAGCCGAACACAAGCAUUGUAAUAGGUUCUCUUCCCUUUUUAACGAACAUCAGAAAUAAAAGAAAAAAGAUUACUAUUCUUCAUUUUUUUUCAAUUGAUUAUUUUGUUUUUACUUCUUUUAUCUUUUUUUUAUUUUUAAAUUUUUUAAAUAAACAAUAAAAAAAAAGGGGAAGGGACUCACAGGAGUUGCGCCGCGCCUUGGUCGUCGGAGGGUCCCUUUUUCAGUGACAAAACCUGUGUUGAGAGGGCUAUUAGUCCCUUUUUAUUGUGUUGUUUGGGUGUUUCGUGGUUGGAUUUGAGUCAAGGGGGCUGGAAAAUUAAAAAAAAAAACUUUUUCCCUCGCCGACCACCAUGAACUGCGGCGUAGGCGCCGGCUACCGGCGGCCAGCAUGGCGAUGGCCGGCCGAUCCUCUUGCCGGAUUCUGGGCUAAGAGAGAGGGGGGAGAGAGUAUUCUUUGUUUUUUUUUAGAACAGAAUGGAAGAAUGAUUUUGUUAAAAUUUUUUUUGCUUUUAUAACUGACGCAAAACGGCGUCGUUUGGGGCCUGCUCCAGUGGCCUCAAAACGACGCCGUAUAGGACACUCGCACACGACCCGACCCGCUUCAGGGGGAUCCGCGUGUUUUAGCUCUGAGGGGAAUAUUUGUGCAAUAGGUCCCUCCACUUUUGCAACAUAGCGUAAUUCGAUUCUUUUUUUAUUUGAGCCGAGAAUUUUGCUUCCGUUUCAAUCUGGUCCUCAGGCCAUAUGCAAUCCCUUCGUUAAAGCGUCACGCUUUAGGACUGGGGAAUAUUUCCCUGAAGGUCCCUCGUGCUUUGAGCACGUUUCAUUUUGGUCCCGAACCACCCUCUUUUAUUUAUUUACGAUUUAAACCCCGAAUUUUGGGCCCAAUUUCAGUUUCGUCCUAUUUCAUUUAAUUAAUUUAUUAUUCUUUAUUAUUAUUUUUUUAAAAUAAAUAAAUUAUUUAUUUAUUUAUUUAUUUUUUAAGGGCUCUUCUUUUACUAUUAUGUAUUUUAAGUUUUACAUAUAUUAUCUAUUUUAAAUAUUUCACCUAAUAUUUACUUAAUUUUUUAUUACAUUAUUUGUUUUAAACUACCAUAUAUAUAUUGUCCUUUAAAUUUUUUAUACUAUUUUUAAUAAAGAAAAAGAAUACUGUUUUGUGUUUUAUUCAUUUAUAUAUUUUAAUCUAUAUUAGUAUUUUUCAUUUUAAGUUUCAUAUUUAGUUUGCUUGAGAUAUUUACCAUUUAUUUCGAAUUGAUCUCAUAAAUUAUUUGUCUUAGACUAUUAGUUACGUGAAAUUAUUGUCUAUAUUAUUUCGUCUCAUUUACUUUGAUAAUUAAUAUUUAUAUUUUAAAAUGAUGCAUGUUGUAUGGCUAUUACCAUUAUGUGUAUUAUUUUGUUUACUCGUAUUUUCAUGCUAUAGUGAUUCAUUCAUUUAAUAUUUUGAUCAUAAAUUAUUUCUCCAUGUUGUAUAUUAUCGUUCCAUCAACGUAACCCUUCACUCGCACAUUAUUUAUUACAUUAAUUUUUACCCAAACAUGCAAAAAUAAAAAUUUCCAAUAAGGCAAUAUUUUGUGUAUUAGUGAUUCGAGAAGGUCGUACCCUAACUUACUGGGUUUCGAUUUUCACAAUCAAUCUAAAUACACGAAUCUUUUCAAAACUCAAGUUUUAAAAGAUCUCGGGAAUUAAGAAAAGAUCGUGUCCUAACUUACUGGGCAUGAUCCCUUUUUUUUAAACCCGAAAUAGCUAAAUAUCUUUUAAAUAAGUAAAUUUUUGGGCAUGUAUUCUCGUAUCGGGAAUUUGAUGCGUUGUGUCCUAACACAUUGGAUGUGACAUGUUGUUUGCUCGAUAUGAGGAUUUUUUCUAAAAAAUAAUAAAGGUAAUAUUUUACAUUUGGAAUUUCGAUAAAGCGUGCCCUAACGUGCUGGGUUCCGAUUUCUCGUUUGACCAAAUAGCCAAAUAUCCUCUUAAAACUUCAAAGUAUGGGUUUUUGAAACCAUAAGGUGAUCUUGGUUUUGAUGGUUUAAAGUAUCGUGAUAUUCCUUCGGAACAAGAGAAUCUUAAAUUUCAAUCCAUGUUAUUCGAGUUUUUUUAAGGAUCGUAUUUUUUUUAAAUUUCUUCAAAGUUUUCAAUUUUUUGAAAUCAAGACAUUAGCUAAUCAACUAGGUACCAAUUUUGGGCGUUACGAGGGUGUUAUCCUUCCUCGUACGUAACCGACUCCCAAACCUAUUUUUCUGAAUUUCAUGGACCAAAAUCAUUGUUUUAAUAAAAUUAAAUUGUUUAUUAAAAACAACCACUUUCAAGGUGGCCCGAUCACACCUUAUCAAAAAGGAUUGGUGGCGACUCCCAUUUUCGUUUUUGUUUUCAAAAUCCAAGUCGACCCUGUUUUUAUCAAAAAAAUGGUGUCAACACUCACCAUUCUCAAUUAGAAAUCAAAUGAAUUUUCAUAGCCACCAAGAGAGAAAUUUGAUAAGGAGACCAUGGGGAGCAAGAAUAUCAAGUUAGAUUCAAGAAAUAGAAGCUAGAGGAGAGAGUAAAAUCAAGUUAAAGAUUGAAAUCAAUAGGACAAGGUAAGAUCAUCAAGAUUUCAAUAUAUUUUUAAGAUUGAUAUUAUUGAAAAAGCAUGAAAAUGAUGUUAUAGUAGAGUUUUCUUAUAUAAGGUCUUAAGUUCUUGAUAUAUUAGUGAAGGGAAAUAAGUGAAAGUGAUGGGAAAUAUUAUAGAGAAAGGGAAUAAGGGAGUUAUAAACUUAGUAAUCAACAUCUUGCACUAAAACAGUUUUGGACAGCAGCAGUAGGUUAACUAUGAAACAUCACCAUAAAUCAUGGAAAUUGAAUUAGAGGAUGAAAAAAAUAUGGAAUUAAAUUUUAUUGAGUCUAGCUUCUCAUAGAAGAAACGAUGUAAGUAAUGAAAUUGUAAAUCAUGAGAUAUAAUAAAUUUUGUGAGACAAGGUCAGAAUGAUUUCGGGUUCCCCUAUUCUGACUUUAGAAAAUCAUAAAAAAUUAGAGAAAAAUAAUUAUGGGCUUAAAUUUAUAUGUUUAAAUCCUUAAUGAAAUGGUAACAUCAUCUGAAUCCUGUACGAGGAGGUAAUUAAUUUUUAGUGAAGAAUCAAAACUAUCAAAUAGCCGAACAUGGAUUACUUUUAAAGAAUAAAUUGUACUUAUUGGCUAAACCAUAAAUUCUAAAAAUUUUAUGGUAAGAAGAUAUGUGAGUCUAGUUUCAUAAUUUAGCAUAUCUUAAUUCGGAGUUUCGUAGCUCAAGAUAUAAAUAAUUUAGUGACUAUGACUCAAGUGGAUAGCUUUGAAUGAACAUAAAAAUAAAUAGUGAAAUUAUAGAUAAUGUUACAUAUAAGCAUGUUAUAUACAUUAAGGAUGUGGAAUGGAGAGGAGGAGGAGGAAAAUAUAUGAUUAUUCAACUAGCAUGAGUUUUCAUUAAAAAUGGCUAAUUUGCAUGUGUUAGGUUCAAGGACUAAAUUGAAUAAAAGUAAAAUCUUAAGGGUAAUUUUGUAAAAAGGUUAAAAAGUGACCAAAUUGCAUGAAUUAUUUUAUUAUUUAAAUUAAUAAAUUGAAUGAAAUAUUAAUUUAGAUCAAGAUUCGAUGGAAAUUUGAGGAAAAUAGAAAAUUACCAAAAUGUCUCUGAAUUUUGGUAUUUUCUGCAAUUUAGCCUGGUAAGUUCGUAUGAACUAUAUUCUGUAUAAUUUUAAUUAAAGUGAAAGUUAUUUGGUGAUGAAUAUUAUAUAAAUAUGUGUUUUAUUAUUGGAAUUGAAUUAUUAUUGGUAAUAUGUAUAAUUAUUAGAUGCAUUGAAAUGAUUAUCAGAUGUGUUGGAAGCUUGUCGGAGAUAUAUCACACUAUCCAUUAGUUCUAUCGAUAAUUUUGGAUGAUUUGAUUCUGGUUAUAAUCGCAUGUAUAACUUAAAUUGGCCAAUGUUUGCUAAUUAAUGUUUUGAUUUUGAUUGGUUAUAAAUAUGAAUGCUUGAUGAAAUGAAAUGUCUGUAAAUUAAUUUGUAAACUCCAGUAAUGCUCUAUAACCCUAUUCUGGCGAUGGAUACAAGUUAGACGUGUUACACUAGAUCUUUCAUCUUGUGAUCCAUACGGCCUUAGGCGGUCCGUUCGUCCAAACUCACCUAAGUCAUCCUUUACUCAAGUGAGGAUUCCUUAAGAACUCCUCCCAAGGCACCAAGUUGAAGAGCGGAAGCGAUUUAUGCCAAAAGAAUAACAACAAAAGAACAACAAAAAGAGCGCACACAAAGUGUUUGAGUAAAUGCUCUCAGAAUUCUAGUACUCUUAAGAAUUCAACAUACAAUGGAAUGAGUACAAAUGUGGGGAGGCUCUCUAUUUAUAGUUGAGCUCCUCCCAAAUUGACGGUCAAGAUACAUUUACAUCGACGGAUGAGAUUAAACAUAUCCCUUUAUUUUAGGGAUUUACAAUAUAUGCCAUAUCAAAUCUAAUCUAAUCUUUACAAGAUAUGAUUCCCUCAAUCUUCUAAAAUUAGUUACCAAAUUAGCCUAAGUUUCCAUAUCUCCAUUAUCGGGAUAACCAGGCUCUAAUCUGACAGGCUUCUCCAAUAGUUCUUUGAAUCGGGCUAAUUCUCGUGGGCUAAAUGAUCCCCGUCUUAUUGAUAGACCACCAUAGGGUGCAUCUUGUGCUAUGGUCACGGACUUUGCGCUUUGACCUAUGACACAAGAUUAUCACAAAUUCCAAGUGGCAAUUGGAAAAUGAGAUACGAUGUUUAUGUUUUUUUUUCAUUUUUAAAUAUAGUAAAGACGAAAUUGAUGGAAGGGAAAACUUUAUCCUUGGUUUAAAAGUCCAUAUAUCAAUUACAAGACAUAAAAAACAAAGACAAGUAUUGGGGGCCAGCAAAUGAUAGUGAGUGACACUAUUUGAUUUAGUCUAAUUACAACAUGUUUGAUUGGAACUAUUUUGAAAUAUCUGAUUAAAUAAAUAUUGAGAGGAAAAGUCUUAAAUUUUCUUCUUUUCCUUAGCUAUAAAAUUUAAUUUCUAGUUUGGUUUACAGGCCUUUGGUUCUCAUCUCUAGUUAUGUAAGGCUGAGUCGCUGUUAGUUGGAUGGACCUACAUUAAAAACAUUAAUUGAAAACAUAAGUAAUAGAAACUUUGUCAUAUUUAGACAAAUCAAAUUAAAUUUUGCCUACCAUUUCCCAACCACAUCUUUAUUAACUUUUUACAUUUAUUAUCCCAAUAUUCAAAACCAAACAAUACAUCCAUUGCAUAUUCCUUUUCUUAAAUAUCAUUUUAUUUAAUGUCAUUAGACAUUACUCUAUUCUUUUUUUUUAUGAUAAAAAUUAUUAAACAAAAAAUUAUUACAGAUGUUGUAGGAACCUAUCCUUUGAGAUUGUUUGAUUCUAGUUUUUGACAAAUUGCUCAAAGUUGAUGGGAUAAAACAAGUGAUUUUGAUGGUGUUCGGAAACAAGCUUCGAUGUUUAGUGAGAUCAAAAUUUGUUGACAAAUUAAAUUACUCAACGGGGUAAAUAUCCAUAGAAGUUAUUGUCCCAAAGUGGGGCUGGACUUGGAUGGUGUCUGCGAGACUCAUUUUUAUCAAAUUCAAAGCAGUGGCAGUAAUACCGAUUAAAUUACAACUAGAAAUAAAAACAGAUCAGUUGGCUGGCAAGAGAUUUCGAGGGUCAUGCUUGGUCCCUAUCAUCCCAAGUACUACUAAGUCAGUACCCCUCUAAAUGGGGAGAACUUUGUCGAUCUUUCAUUGGUUUAAAAGUCCGACUACCAAUUGUAAGGCAUCAAAACAACAAAGACAAGUAUUGGGGACCAGCUGAAGAGAGUGAGUGACACGGUUUGAUUUAGAGUCUCAUGAUUGCAGCAUUUUGAUCAUGAUCCUCAACUUUGAUUGUAAUGUCUAACAAAAUAAAUACCAAGAUGAAAAUACCGUUUUUCUAUAAAAUCUAAAUUUCUAGUUUUGAAGACACGCCUUUGGUUCUCAUCUCUUACUUGUUCUGCACGGCUAAGUCGCAGUUGCUUCGAUGGACCUAUGAUGGAAACAUGAAUUGAAAAGAAUGCCAACAAGUAAUAGAAACUUUGUAAUAUUCAAAUAGAUCAAAUUAAGCUUUGCGGGUCCUGCCCUACUUCACACUCAAUUGACAGAGGGAUUGGGACAAUAAUUAAAGCCAUUGUGAGUGGUGGGGUAGGCGUGGGUAUGACCUUGUACCGACCCCAUCCCAUCUCUACCCAUCCUGCAUAAUAUAACAAACAUAUUUAAAAAAUAAACAUUUAUAAAAAUUUAAUUUAAUAAUUAUUUUAACAGUAUUUAAUUUUUGCACUUGUGUUGCAUUUGAAGACAUUUAUGAUGUAUUUGAGAUAUUGUUUGUAUUUUGAUAUUAUGUAAUGACUUUAUUUUUUGAAUCUUUUAAACUUGAAAUUAUAUAUUAUUUACCAAUUAAAAGUCGUGACGACUUACUUUUUUUUUUAAAUAGUGACAGUUGGAAUAAUGUCACAUAUGUGAUGGGAGUCUGGAGGAUAAAUAUUUUAUACUUUUGUAACAAAAAAUUGGUUUAUAUUUAUUUAAGUGAUACUUAUAAAUAUUGUCGAAACCACUUUUUGAAAACAAAAAAUUAGUUGUCGACUUUAAAAAUAAAAAUUGGAGUCACCACCGAUCUUUUAUUGGGGUGUGAUCGGCUCACCUUAAAAAAUGAUUUUGGUCUGCGAAAUUUGAGAAAACAGGUUCGGGAGUCGGUUACGCACGAGGAAGGGUUAGCACCCUCGUAACGCCCAAAAUUGGUACCGAAUUGAUUAAUUAAGGUCUUAAUGCCAACUAUCGAAAAUCCGUGAAGAAUUUAAAAAUACGAUUCCCUUUUUUAUUAAUUUUAAUUUAUAAAAGAUACUUGGAUAAAUCGAAGCGGUUGCUAAAGACCUUCUUGUCUAAGAGUAAUAAAAUGUCACACCCAAUACAUUAGGACACGAUAUUUUUAGUCCUCGAGAAUAAGCUUGUCUUUUGAUUUCCAAAACUCUUGCGGUGAAGUUUAAAAAGGAUAUUCAAUUGCUUUAAGUCAGAUGAAAAAUCGAAGCCCAAUACGUUAGGGCACAAUUUCUCAAAAUUUCGAGCAUUCAAUAUUACCCUUAUUAUUCCUUUUUUUUAAAAACUCCCUGUCUCGAGAAAACGACAUAUCAUAUCCAAUACGUUAGGACACGACGUAUCGAAUUCCCGAGAAUGAGCUUUUUAUUCAUGAUCUGUGUGAUUUUAUUGUAAAAUAAAUACUUGGCUAUCUAAAUUCAUUGAAAAGAAUUGAAUCCUAGUAAGGUAGGGCACAAUCUUCUCGAGAAUCAUGAAUACCGAGUAUCUUGAAAAUUUACAAAAUAAGAUGAUUUUAAUGCUUUAAUGAAAUAUAAUUUUUAAAACAAAUGUAGUGCGAUUGAAUAGUAACGUACAACGCAAAAGGAUAAUUCGAAAAUAAAAUAUACAUUAAUGAGCAAUGAAUAAUCAACAAAUAAAUACAAACAAACAUAGCAACAAUAAUCUCAAUUGUACAUUAUGCCAAUAUCAAUAUCAACAUUCAAAAGCUGAUAAAAAAAAACUCAAAAUAACUAAUAAUAUACUUGAUAAUACACGUAAAAAGUUGAAGUGGGUGAAAUAUAAUAAAGUAGGUUUUUUUUUUUAAAAAAAGAAAUAAAUUAUAUAUAUGAAAAUAAGUAAAAAAAAUAUGGAAUUAAUAAUAUAUCAUAAAUUGUGUAUAAAUAAUAUUAAAUUUACAUAAAAAUAUAUAAAAUAAUACAUAAUAAAUUUGAAGAAUAAUACAUGAAACUUAGAAUGAUACAUAAAAGAAACCUUUAAAAAUAAUAAUACAAUAGAUUUAAACAAUAUCAACAAUAAAUUUAUAAUAAUAAGUUUAAUUAGAAAUAAUACUAGACUUAAAACUAAAUAUAUUAAAAAAAGAAUAAAAGAAAUACUUAACUAAGUUUUUUUUCUUCUUUUUUUUUUAAAAAAAUGAGCAAAUCAAAAUAAGGAUUAAAUUGAUUUUAAGACAAAAUUAGAGAGAAAAAACGGAAAUAAACUAAAACGGAGGUCUAAAUCGUGACGUGCGAAUAACAUGAGGACCGAAUGGGAAAUAUUCCCUUCCCCUAAAACGCUGCGUCUUUAGCAUGGACUAAAUGAAACAAAAAUAAAAUAAGAGAUUAAAUUUAAAAGGAAAUAAAAGAACUGGAUUGAAGUACACUUGAAAAAUAGAGGGACUGUGCUCACAAAUAGACCGUCAAACAAAAUGCGCGGAUCCUUCCCUCAGGUCGGGUCACCGCGUGGGUCUGAGCACAUUACGGCACUGUUUUGGAACCAUCAAAACGGGCUUCAAACGGUGUCGUUUCAUAGCAUGCAUAAAAUAAAAAAAAAGGCAUUAAGCCAUUUUUGACAGAUCUGCAAACCCUAAGCAAAACUUUCCUCUGUGCGCCGCUCAGCAAACAGACGUUUGGAGGCCCCAAUCCCUCGUCCGACUCCGAUUGCGACGGAGCAAACGACGUCUCAGCUAUCUAUUAAUAAGCAGAGUAGUAAAAAAAAAAGAAAAGUGAAGAGAAAUUCAAAAAAUCACCUUACGAAACUCUGUUUAUGUUCUUUUUCUUUGAAUAUUUUUUUCUAUUUUUGUAUUCAAUCUCCGUGUGUAAAAAAAUACAAUGGCUUUCUGUUUGUUUUUAUAGCCGAAUAUGCGAAAACAUGAAAUAAAAAUAAAAUACGAUCUUUUUCUCUCUGCUGUGUUUUUUUUGUUUCACUUGCAGGUAUGGUGUACGGAGGUGGUGGCAUGGCGCACGUGGAGAGGAAGACCGAAGGCGGCGCGUUAUGAGGCUAUUGCGGCGGCUUAGUUUCUAGAAACCUUUAGGGUUUCUGAAUAUGUAAAAAAAAUGGGCUGUUUGGGCUUGUAACGUGAUUGGGCUAGGGAUUGUAUUUGGGUUUGUAACCGAGUUUGGAGAUUGGGCUAAUUAGGCUUAGGUUAGGUUUGGGCUAGGGGUUUUGGUUAAUUGUUUAAUGGACUUUUAUUGGACUUUGUAUUUUUAUUAUUUAGUUUUUAUAUUAUCUGUAUCGGGCCAUCAAAAAUUGGCUAUUACAAAUAUAUUAUAUGAAAUGGGUCAUAAGACGAGUAUAGUGGGGAUUAGGUGGGUUUGGGACCCACGUGGGUGGUGGGGCGAGGAUGGUUUUUGAUUUUGUACCCGUAAUGGGUUGUGGGAAGGGGAUAGAGAUGAAAAUUCUUGGUGGGGAUGGGGAUAAAAAUUGUGCAAGUCGAAGUCUGUGUAAUUUAAGUAAUGCAUACCAAGAAGGAAUCUUCGGCCCUCUCUCUUUCUAUCUCUGUCUUCCUCUCAUUUUGGUGUAUUGUUUGUUUGGAUGUGUUUUGUCUUGUCUUGUGUUGAUCUGAUUUGUUUUGUUCCAGUGAUGUUAAGCCUUUGACUAGUAAUAUGAGUAAUAUUGGGCUUCAACCACAAUACACGAUAAAGAAUGAAAGCCAGAGAAAUGCAAGACUGCAUGUCUACACCAUUAUUCACUAUUCAACAAUACAUUACUUAUUUUUUUCUUUCUGAUAAAAUUUAUUAACAACAAAUGUUAUCCUUGUUUUAUGGAUAAAGUAAUGUUUAUUUAAUAUAUCCAGAACAAUAAACUAAUUUCCAGUUAUACCUCUCAUUCAAUAAUAAUAUUUUUAUAAAUAAAAGAGUAGUCUGUCUCUAUAUAAAUAAAUGAGUUGGAUUGGCUGAUCAUUUGAUUUUGGGUUAAAUGAAAAUCAACUUCGGCCUGGAUGUAGGUAUUGGGUUUAAUGUAACUUACAUAAAGAGUCUAGUAUGUCGCUUUAUUUGACUUGUUUGGUUUGGACAUUCAAAAUUGAAAUUGAUCAAUUAAAUCGACAAAAUUGAGUCUCAACUAAAUAAAGUGAAAACUCAACUAAAUAGUACUGGAUUAAAUUGAUUCAAUUAAUCGAAUUUGCACAUACUUUAUAACCAUCAUGAUUCGUUCAUAUUAUUAUUCUCAUACUAUAUUCAUGCUAUGUAAUAAAAUUGUGUUAUAAAGUACUUGAUCUCGUUUUCCUAAAUUGAUGUAUUUGGAAAGAUCGAAACUUUUUUCUUUUUCAGGGUGUCUCUUGGAGCACAGGUAAGAUUAUUAAGAUUUUAUAUAUUUGGGCAAAACAGUUUGUUUCCUUUCAUAGGGAAGACAUUUCUUGACAAAUAGAACAAAAGUCAGCAGUUGAGAUGUCGGAAAGUUGGAUCAAUCUUUGCACUGACAGGGCGGUCCAAAUUGCCCUAGGUGAUUCUGAAGCGGGGGAAGUCAUAAGAAAUGGAAAAAGGGAGUGAAUUAUGGGAUACAACAGAAAUCUAGGCAAAUGCUCAGUCUUCAAUAUUGGAAAUCUAAAUUUAAUUAAAUUCCAAGAUGAAAAGUCCUUUUUUUCUAUAAAAUCUAAAUUUCUAGUUUUGAACACAUGCCUUUGGUUCUCAUCUCUUACCCCAUCAAUAUUGAAAAUUUUGCUGCUUCGAUGGACCUAUGUUGGAAACAUGAAUUGAAAAGAAUGCCAACAAGUCAUAGAAACUUUGUAAUAUUCAGAUAGAUCAAAUUAAGCUUUGUGUGGACCAUUCGUGAUUGAAGCCAGUUCUGCACUGGAUUAUUAUAGAUCAAAUAAUUACUUGCAAUCCUAAAAUUAACAAUCUAACAAUUGAAUUUAACAAGCCUUGCAUUUAAAAUUUUGAAUUGAUCUGAUACCUCUAUCAUUUCGGUCCAAAACUUUAUUUAUUUCAUAUAUAUUAUAUAAAGCAAAGUAUUUAAGUAUUUUUGAAUGUAACUAAGUAAGCAUGUUUCUUCUUCCGCGAGUCAAAAGUUUGCAGCAAUUUUAGCGAUUUCGUACAUUAUAUGUCAUUAUAUUGUUGCCUUAAUUAAAGCACAAUAAUAUGUCAUUAUAUGUCAUUAUAUUUCCAUAAGUUUUAACAAAUAUCAUAAAUUUCCAUUGGGAAUUUUGUUGGUGUAUUCUAAAUCACAUAAUGAUCAGAAAUAAGGAAGAUUUCCAUAUAUUCUCGCCUUUUAGUAGAAGUAAUAAUAAAAAAUUUUAUUGAUUAGCCUCUACUAUGAAAAUAAAAAUAAAAAAUUACAAAAUUAGAACCCUAAAAUUCAAGUAAAUCAAUUUUGGUUUUAAAAUUUUAAACAUACAUAUUAAAGAUCUCCUAACAAUUUUACUUUUAAUUAAAUUCAAGUAACAAUUUUACAUAUUAAGGGUUGAUUAAAUAGUUUGCAUAACAUCCAUCUAGUUUUGAGAAAUCUUCACUUUUAAUUUCAAAAUUGUAAUUAAAUAGUUUUAUCCAAUUAACUAAUAAUAAUAUAUGGCUAUGGUGAUGUCUGUAAUUUCAUAAAAUAAUUACUCUAAUCUAAUCCAUGUCUCUUUCUUUCUGAGUUUAUAGGCAAUAUAUUCCCUUCGAUUUCACCUAGCUUGUUAUAAUAAUGUUAUUCCAAAUUAGUUAAAGAAGAAAAUUUGUGAUAUUAUAUUUAAAUUGAAUAUUUCAAUUUAUUAGGAAUUGAUUUUAAAUUAGAAAGAUCAAAUUUUAAGUAGGAUCACUUAGGGAUCAGAAAUCUAGGCAAUUGUUCAGUCUUCACUGCUGAACCAUGGGGAGUUCUUGAUGGAUUAGCUCUCAUUCACAAAGGGCGCUAUGAUGGUGUAUUGAUACAAACUAAUAGCUUGGAGGUGGUUAAAGCCAUUUAGGACUCCUCUCCCUCAAGCUCGAAUUCUACUCUCAUCAGACGUAUAAAUGUACAUUCAUGGGCCAUUCGACAUUUUCUUAAAGAACAUACUUGAUACAACCAAUGAAUUUGUUGAUGUAUAGAUUCAAGCUAUGAUGUCUAGUGAAGUAAAAGGAUAUUUGUUGGCAUAGCUCUAUUGAAGUUGUUGUUACGAAUAUUUCAACUAAUGCAAAUUAGAUAACUCAAUGGGUAAAUACUUAUUAUCGCUAACGCAUGACCAUGAGUGACACUGUUUUAUUUGGAGUCUAAUGAUUGCAACAUGUUUGGUGAUGAUCCUCAACUCUGAUUGAAUCUAUUAUUUAAUAUCGGACAAAAUAAAACAUUGAGAUGAAACUAUUUCAAUUUUCAUGUUCUUUGAUGAAUCUAUUAUUUAAAAAUCUCAAUUAGUUAGUUGAUUAAAUUAAAAAAAAUUGAUAGUUGGGUGAGCAAAUAAGAAAAAGGGGCGAUAGUUGGGUGACAUGUGAUGUAGUUUACCCUAAUAAUAAAAUAUAGUAGGGUAAACUAUAGAGUUAGUCACCCCACUAUUAGUAUGUUUUUGAUUUGGUCACCUAACUAUGAAAAUUUACAAUUUAAUCACUAUCGUUUUAGAUCAUUUUUAUUUUGGUCACGUUUUAGAUCGUUUUUAUUUUACUCAAUCUUCGUUAAAUGGUUAACCAAAGUUAUGUUGUGACCUUUUUUUAACUAGUAUAAAAAACACAUUUAGUCUUCAAUACUUACACAUUCUAUCAAUUUGAUCCUCGAACACAUACAAUUAAAUGUAACAUAUAUAUUAUUAAAACGUACAAAAUCUAAUUAUUUAUAUAUAUAUAUUUAUCUAAAUAAUAUUAUAUGUGCUUAUAUUUAAUUACGAUUAUAAGGUUCAAAUGUGCAUUUAGCCCCUCGAACUUGGCACCUUCUCCCAUGUUGGUACUUAUGAUUUUUUUGUCCCAUGUUGAUACUUUUUUUUUUGUUAUGCUAUUAAAUAUAGGACACAUGACACUCUUCCGAUGCCAUAAUCUAUUUGUUUUAUAAAAAUAUAAUAAAAAAUUUAAAAUUUAUAUAUAUGAAAUUUAUAUAAUUUUUUAAAAUAUAAAAUAAAUUAUAAAUUAUAAAAAUAUAUGUAUCUAAAAAUUAAAAAUAUUACAAAAAUUUUAAAAAAUCUAUAAUUCCAGUUUGAAAAAUCAAAGACCUACCAAAUUUACACAUUUUUCUAAAUAAAUUGUAAACAAAUUAGAUAAAGAUAAAUUUUGAAAUAAAUUUUAUGUUUAGAGACAGGUGCAAAUUAUUACAUGAUUUUUUAAGUUAAUAAGAAUGCAAAAGAUGAUGAUUUUUCAAGUUAAAUUUUAUGUUUUAGAUCGUUUUUAUUUUACUCACUCUUCAUUAAAUGGUUAACGAAAGUUAUGAUGUGAUUUUUUUUAACUAGUAUAAAUAAUAUAUUUAGUCUUCAAUACUUACUCAUUUUAUCAAUUUAAUCCUCGAACACAUAUAAUUAAAUAUAAAGUAUAUACUAUAAAGACGUACAAAAUAUAAUUAUUUAUAUAUAUUUAUCUAAAUAAUAUUAUUUAGUUUUCUUUUUUUUUUUGUUAAUUUUUUGCUAGGUGAUGGGAAAAAUUUGGUUCCUUUGUUGAAAAUGCACACACAUAUACACAUAUAAAUUUAUCAGCAUUUAGUUAUAUGUGUUUAAAUAUAAUCAUUUUUAUAUUUAAUUAUAUGUGUUUGGGAAUAAAGUUGAUAGAAUUUGUAAACAUGGAGGGUGAAAUCUAUUGAAUUAUUUAGAAUAAGAAUCAAAUUGAUAGAAUGUGUAAGUAUUGAGAUAUAAACGUGUUAUUAUGCCAGUUGGAAAAUGCAACAUCAUCACUUCCGUUAACAAUUUAACGGGGAGUAAUCAAAAUAGAAACAAUCUAAAGUGUGAGUAACCAAAAUAGAAAUAAUAUAAAAUUUAAGUGACUAAAUUAAAAAAUUCAUAGUUGGGUGACUAAUUAUAUAGUUUAUCCGAGAUAGUAGAAGCAAUUAGGAUUAAUUCCAACAAACAUCUCAAACUAUUACUCAUAUUUUAAAUUGAACCCUAAACUUGUACACAUUCUCAUUAAAUUACUCAAAUAGAAUGUGAUAAUGUGUUAUGCUAUUAUUCAUCAAUAGUUCAUAGAACUUAUGCACCAACAAUGCAUCAAAUAUUCUCAUUAAAAGAAAAUGUAUAAAAUAAGUUUUAUACCAUCUAUAAUUUGUAAAAAAAAAAUCAAUAAAAAAAUAUAAAAAUACAUCUAUAAUUUCACAAAAAGAAUUACAUAUCUAUAAUAUCUUUUUAUAAAUUCAAUUCCAAAUCUCCUGUAAUAAAUCAACCUCACAAAUCUGAUUGAGGUUAAAAACAAAGAAUGCAUGUAUUGUGCAAUUAAAACCAUGAUCCAUUUUCAAUUCUAAAGUAUUGAACAUAUAAAUUUGCAUUAUUUUACCUCCUUUGAUUCUUCACAAACUCUUUGGAAUAAAUUAACCAUCUAUUCCUUAUUUCAAUUUUAUUAAAAAGAUAGGUUCCCAUAAAGACAGUCUUUACAAACCAGUGCACCUAUCACAAACACAUCGGGGAACAUUGCCAUGAGAGAGGACCUAAGAAAACAUAAUACAAACUACAUAACAUACAAUCAAGCACCCACACAUUGUUUAUUAAACAGCUACAGAAAAAGGCCUGCAUACCACCAAGCAAUGAAGUUUUCUGUUCUGUUUGCAACUUGUUGAACUCGCCGAAAUGUUGGCUUCUCUACCUUUUUGAAAAUCUUUGUCGGACUCGCUCCACGAUCCUAAUCAACCACCAUGGUUUUCCAGUCGUGAAUACAAUGUAUGCCAUACUCAUUCCCAGCACCAACCCACAUCCAUACCCCAUCAAUAUUGAAAAUUUCCAAUUCAAUUCAAUUCAUCACCAUCAUCAUCUCUAUCAAAUUUGGCUGGAGUUCCCUCAUCAGUACCACAGUUUUUUGAUAAUGGCAAACCACAUAAAUCCAAGUUUCCCAUGUAGGAAUCGUUAGUGAAAGUAUCAAAUUGUUUGCCUUGAGGAAUGGGUCCCUUGAGAUUAUUUUGAGAAAGGUUUAACACCUCUAAGAAUCCAAGAUUUUUUAACUGUGUUGGAAUUCUUCCUUCCAGCUUAUUUGAUGAGAGAUCUAAUGAUUCAAGCUCUAACAAAUUACCUAAAGAUGAUGGGAUAAGACCCAUUAAACAGUUAUGGGAGAGGUUUAGGACAAUAAGUAAAUGAAGCUCACCAAGUAUUUUUAGAAUUUCUCCCCUGAAUUGGUUACUAGAAAGGUCAAUAACCGUCCAAAUGGAUAAUAGUGUUUCAAACUUUAUUUCCAGCCCUUUUGCUGUAACAGAUAAACCACCAGAAGCAUAAUUCACCCAAAAUGCAACAGUUGCAUCUUUCGUGAUCUUUAGUUCUCUCAUGUAAUUUGGUUCAACUUUCUUUCCAUACUCAUCUCUAAUGGCAUACAUAUGCUCAAAAAAUAGGGUAGGUAAGUAGCCACUAAAAUUAUUGUGAGAAAGAUCAAUGAUUCGCAAUUUAGUUAAAGAAACUGUAGUAUCAAAGCUCUCUAUUUGGCCGUAAAAUCUAUUUGACCUCAAGAUAAGAACUUGCAGCUGAUCCAAAUUUCCUAACCAACUUGGGAAAGUGUCAUUCAAAUUGUUUUUUCCAACAUUGAGAAUAUUUAAACCUUUGCAAUUACCCAAAGAUCGUGGUAGUGACCCUUCUAAUUCAUUGUUGAUGACAGAAAAACUUUUUAACAUGCAACUUUUAGCAAAGUUUUCUGGCAUUUGACCAUGAAAAUUAUUAUUCCCUAGAUAAACUGCUGUGAGAGAAGAACUCAAGUUUCCGAUGCACUUUGGAAUUGUUCCCUCCAAAUUAUUCCCAUCUAAAGAAAUACCCAUAAGCGAAGUCCAAUUGCAUAUUGAAGAAGGGAUUUCUCCAAUUAAGUUAUUAUUUGAAACUCCAUACCAUUGCAGUAAAGGUGGUGGUGUUGGAAUUCGACCUUAGAGAUAAAAUUGAAAAUGAGAUAGAAUUAGGAGUUUGAAGAUUCUUUGGAAUAUAAAUUAUAAAAUAACUAUAUUACAUGCAUGAUGUGUACACUGAAUACAAAUAAUUGAUUAAUUUACUACAAUGUGAUGUGCCUAACUAUUUCUAGUGUUUGAACCGUUUUGAGUCAUAUCUUUCUUUGAACUCAUACCGUCCUAAGCCUUAGAACAUUACCAGCUCAGAAAACCAAUGUGACUUAAGUGUUCUCUAUGCAUAAUCUUCCGAAAUUGCUAACAAUUAUACUUAAUGAAUAUUUGUUGAUUCACAUGAUUGUGUCUACUAUAUAUCUAUUUGAUUUAUGUUAAUGGUGAUAUUGUUAAACAUUUGGUCAUGAGAAUUACUUCUAGUUUGUUAGUAAUGUAAAUUUGUAAACUAGUUUUCGUACUUAAAGAGCUUGGAUAUGAGCAUUUUGGUUAUGCUUUAGUUAGUUUUUGUAUUUUAGUUUUAAUUCAAUAGAAAGUGUAAAUUGAGUGUUCUUAUGAUCUUAGGGGCCGAAUGAGGCCUAAAGGUGGACUAACAUGCUUAGUAAGUGUGCAUGACACCAUUCAAAGGCAUAGGAACUCAAGGUUGGUCGCCAUGUUGCAACAUGGGAAUCCAAUGUCGCAACAUAGAGGAUAGAGUGCCAAUAUUCCAAGAUUGUCUUUAAUGCCGCGACAUAGACAAUGGAUGUCGCAACACACCCCUGAAGCUGAAUAUAGGAAUCAAGUAUACUACCUUCAAUGCUACAACAUAGGCACUGGGUGUUGCAACACUAACUCUGCACGGGAAAUAAUUACGACCUGAGGGAAUUUUGGUCUGCACAAUGAAAAUUAACACGAAAACAUCAACCGACCUAGGGUUAAGGACGAUGACCACCCCUAACUCUAUAAAUAGACCCAUUAGGCACAUGUUUAAAAAACAAUUUUAGGGAGACAAAAAUAAUUAUUAGGUUUUUAUUCUGUUAUAAGUUUUUACUAGUUAUUUGAUGUUUUUGUAAUCGAAAGGUCCUAUUCCGAAGUGAGAUUCUCACAAUAGGAGAUUGUUCUAAAGCCAGCUUUCAUCGAUAAAUCCAUGAGCAUCUCUUUUCCUUUUUUCUAUUUUUUAUAUCUUUUUCUUUAACAUUGUUUAAUUGAAUGUUUGUGUAAAGUUUAGAUAUCACUAUUAACAGAGUAUUUAGGUAACAAAGGAUAGUUUAGAUAUCACUAUUAACAAAAAAAAAAAAGUUCAGAUAUGUCAAGAAAAAUGACAUAAUUUAAGUACUAAUUUGUGGGUUAAGUCUUAUUUUUUAUAUAAGUAACAACUAUUAAUUUGAGAGUGCUUCUAUCGUUUUAUACAAAAUAUUUUCAUUAAAAAAAUAAUAUAUACACAAUAAUAUUCAUAACUUUUUCUUGAAUGAAAUAAUAUUCAUGACUUCAAUUUUAUUUGGAAAAAAAUGUAAAUAAAUAAUAUUUGCUAUGUAUACACAUGGAUGAAGUGUAUAAUUGAAUAAUCUAUUUCACAACAUCUAACCUUUAUAGAUGCAUGGGAAUGACUUUAAUUGAUUCUUAUAGUGUUAUAAAUUUCUUAGCUAAAAAAAUAUAAAUUUAAAAUGAAAAAUAUGAGAUUAUAAAUAGAUAUAAAUUUUCAUCUAAAUCUUGACAUUUUCUUAUGAGUUAACAUUUUUGAAACAUUUUUUUGAAAUCGACUUUUUAUUUAAAAACGAAAAUGAGAGUCUUCACGAAUCCUUUUUUAUGAGGUGUAAUCAGAUCACCUCGUAAAUUGAUCGCUUUAAUAUACGAUAUAUUUUAGAUUUUAUGUGGAUUCUCUUAAGUUCAAUAUUCAAAUUAUUUUAGAUUUCCAUCAUAAAGUUGAAUAGUUUGUAAUUCAAAUCAUUGCUCUCUUUUUACUUGUACCAAUAUUUCCUAUAUUUUUCUUAUGUUAAAAUAGGUAAAGUAUUAAAUAUAUAAUUAAUUUUUUUAAGUCAAAAGCUAAUUAAUAAUAUAUAACAACUAAAAAGGGAUUGCAUAAAUGUAACAACAAAAAGAAAAAAAAUAAUAUUAUACCUGAUAAGUUGUUAUUAGAAAGUUCAAUAACUUCAAGAGUGGUCAAGUUUCCAAUAGUUGAUGGGAUUUCACCUAAAAAUAUAAAUAUAUUGGUCAAAAUAGCUUGGUGCUAGAAUUAUGUUAUCUUCGUGUGUGUACUUUUUUAAAAUUAUGUUUAAUGUAGAUAGCUAACUUAGAAGUAACCCAGGAUAUAGAGAAAUUUUAAUAAGUACUCGAACACAGUUGAACUUUUGACAAUUUGUAACUCAAAUUUGUUUCUUAUACUCAAAAUAGUAUAAGAAAAAAAAAGAAAAAACAUGAUAUUAUACUUAAUAAUUUGUUAUUAGAAAGAUCAAUAGCUUCGAGAGUAGUCAAGUCUCCAAUAGUUAAUGAGAUUUCACCUAAAAAUAUAAAUAAAUUAGUCAAAGAAAAAAAUAAAGCAUCUAAAAAAAUGUCUUAUACCAAUAUUCUUAUAUUUUUCUAAUUUCAAAGUAGUUAAAGGUUUAAAUGUGUAAUUAAUUGUUUUUAAGCCAAAAGUAUUAUAGUAAGAAGUUAAAAGAUUGUAAUUAAUUAGCAAUAUAGGAGGGAAAAUACCAAAAUGAGCUUUAUCAAAAUGCAGUGUUUUGGGAAUAUAGAAAGUUGACAUCAAUGAGUCUCUCAACUCCACAAGUUUUUGCUUAUGCCUUAUCCUUCCACUCAUUUUCAUUCAAAUUCAUCUUAAUCUACAUAAAGACCAUGAAAUCACUUGCUCAAAAAUAAAAACUAACAAUAUUUAAGCACAUGAAAUGCAAAAUAUCUAAAAUGCUAUGAAAACAAACAACAGUUCUCAAGAAACAAAGUAAAUGCAACCUAAAAAAAGCUUAUUAUGAUCAACACUCAUCAUAUCUUGCACUUACAUUUUUACCUCUCCUCAAAUUAAAUUAGUUUCAGAUUAGAAACAAAACUAACACACGAUGAACUAAACUUAGUGCAUUGAUUAGAAGUCUUACUUACAAAUGGUAAUUUUUAUUAACAAUAAAAAAAAUAUUUAUCUUUGUGCCAGAGAAGAACACUGCAUAGAUCAUAAAAAGGAAAAACUAAAACAUCCAAAACAAUAUGUCAAACACUAAACACAAAAUUCAUAGUUGUAGAGGAGGAUUAGAUACAUUGGUCCUAUAAUAUGUCACUCAAAAUCUCAAAAUCAUCCAACAAAAAGAAAUCAUCACUUCAGUUAAUUAAAGCAAGAACAAAUAAAGUUAUGGAUGAACAAAUAUGGGAACUAAAGAAAAAUGAUGGAUCAAAAGGGACAAAUAAGCUAAUUUCUGCCAUAAGGUAGAUGGUGAACUUAGGACGUGGAGUUCUAAUAAAUACCUAAACAUUUACUUCAUAACAUCUUUCAUUUUCUAAAUGCAUAAUAUUAAUGACUCUAGGUUUUAAUCUUUUAAGGUAACUUCUAUUUUAUUUACUUAAAAAGAUUGCAUAAAUUUAAUAACAAAAAGGAGAAUAAAAGAAACAUGAAAUUAUACCUGUCAAUUUGUUAUUACUAAGAUAAAGUGAUUGGAGAGAAGUUUAGUUUCCAAUAACAAGAGGAAUUUCACCUGAAACGUAUAAUUAAAUCAGUCAAAAUUUGCAAAUAUUUUCCUAGCAAACCCUUAAUCUAUUUGUUGAGCAUAUUAGUAUCUAUUUCAUUUACCCAUUUUUAAAUAUGCAAGUUUUUGUUAAGUUUUAUAGUACUUAUGACAACCCAAAAAUAUUUUAAUUAUAAUACUCGAAUUUAUAGUUCAAAUGAUGAUGAAAAUUAGAUGGAAUAAAAUAGUUCACUCUUAAUAGUUUUGUUCAAAUAUAGGAUACAUCGUCGAAGCUGAACAAAUAUAUAUAUAUUAGAAACUUUUAUUAGUUAGCAGGGAUUAGCUAAUGUAAAACAACUGAUACUAUUGCAUACAAUGUGUUCCCUAGACUGCUUGCUAUUUAUCCCUUUCCACAAAUUAUCAAAAACACAUGUACAUUUUAAGCCAAACAUUUAUAAUAGUCAUAGGCGUCAUAUUGAUUCAAUUUUUUGCUAAGGAAUCAGCAAACACACACAUAUCUGCACAUAUAGACACACACAUAUAUCUGCACAGAUAGACUACUAGGAACCCAAAAAUGUCGCUAGACCCGAGAUAUAGUCUAGGUGAUAAGGGACUGAGGAGUUUAAUAGUAAAGAAACUAGUAAGAACUCACAUGAUAAUGAGCUUGUUGUAACCAGAUUACAAAGAAUGGGGCAUAGUCAAGUUUCCAAUUUCUAUAGGCAUAAUUCCCUCCAAAGAGUUGUUAUGCAAUGAUAAUUAAUACAUCAACUAUUGUAACUAGAAGAGACUGCAUAACAGUAACAACAAAAAAGAUAAUAAAGAUGAUAUUAUACCUGUUAAGUAGUUAACAGAAAGAUCGAUGUCCGUGAGAGAAAUAAGAUUUCCAAUAAUCGACGAAAUUUCACCUAAAAUAUAUAAUAAAAAUUAUCAAAAAUUUAUUUCACAAAAAAAAAAUCAAAAUUUAUUAAUUAUUUUUAUAAUAAACCUUAAAAUCGUCAAAAAUCAAAGCUACUUCAUGGUUGUAUUUUGUGAGGCUGUGGGAGUUGUGUGAAGAAGGGAAAGAGACAAUAACAGUGGGUCAAUGCGGGUAGAUAUAAGUCUGAAACAUAUAAUAUCAACUAUUUACUCUGUAAUCAAAGCUAAGAGAAAUCAUGUACUCUAUUUCUUUCCUAUUCAAUAAUAUCAACACAUAAAUAAUAAGGCAAAUCUAAAGGAUAGAAAAAAUAGCUAAUUACAAGUCUUGUGUGAUUCAAAAGGGUAUAAAGUAGGUCCUAAUUAAAAAUCAAACCUUAAAUUAAUUUAAUGUAAAAUUUAACCCUUUUCUUAUCACCAAAUAAAUUUACUUUUAGUAAAUUAGGAGUUUUAAUAAAAUAUUUGUAAUAUCUGAUUGUUUAUGACUAGGUGUUUUGUUUCCAACAUAUUCAGAAUUAACUUGCCUUAGAAAAACAGUCUAUAUUAUUUUUAAGAAUAUUAUAAAAGCAAGAUAUUAGAAAAAUGAAUGAAACAGUAACCAGGAAUUGUUUACCUUUGAGGUGGUUGUUACCAAGAUUCAAACUGUCGAGCAAAGUCAAAUUUCCAAUUUCUGUAGGUAUAGUUCCCUCCAAGGAGUUGUUAAACAAUGAUAAAAACCUUAGCUCUUUGCACUUGAAUAAACUAUUUGGAAUUCUACCGGAAAUUUGAUUCCUACUCAACCUUUCUAGUUUUGACAAAUUGCCUAGAGUAGAUGGGAUAACACCGAUGAAGUUGUUAAGGUACAGAGACAAUCUUUGAAGUUUACUGAAGCAACCAAACCAUGAUGGGAUUUCUCCAUUGAAGCUAUUGUUACCAAGUCCAAAUAUUUCAUCCGACGCA
This 79975-nucleotide long non-coding RNA is filed under the name Gossypium raimondii (Peruvian cotton). RNAcentral describes it as "long non-coding RNA (GRAI_LNC005906)". The record is from RNAcentral. Lineage: Eukaryota; Viridiplantae; Streptophyta; Magnoliopsida; Malvales; Malvaceae.